UCCCCAUCUGAUAUUGUUAUCAGAAAAUGAUUGUCCACUGAUCACCAUGAAUUGCACAAUCAGCUUGAACAAAAUAGUGCUUUAAGAACAUAUUUUGAGAAUGAAAUGUGUUGUCAAUAAUAGUAAUUUUUUUUUCAUGUUAGGCCAACCUUCUCAGUGGGUUUUGUUAAUUAGAAGGCAAGGCAAUUCCUGUUAAUAAAGAGUACUUGAGUAGUGCUGGACAUAUUGGAAAACAUUUAUCAAGUGAAGUGUCAACUCAUGUAUGUAUAGAGAAAUGUAUAUCAACACUUGUUUAUUACGUUACACGCACAGAGCCAGUCAUUUUAAGUGAUUCAAAUACUAAUAAAAGCCUGAUCUACUAAAUGAUCAAAAUAAUGAAACAUAGAUACAACACACAUAUCGAUUGACCAGAUAAACUGGAAAAAAACAAAAGUAAAUUGAUAAAUUGGAAAAUUAUUAGGAAAGAUGGUAUUCGUUUACUUGGACAAAUCUUGUGAUCACAGGGAAAAAGAAUUGUCAAACUACUACUGGUAUUACCAUUUUUAUGGAAUAAUGGAAUUUGCAUACAAUGAAUACCAACUAUUAACAAAGAGAGUAAUGUAUUUUUUCCACUCAAGCAUACCUGCUUCAAUAGCUUAACCAUAGUAUCCCCCAUGAUCUAUGUGAAAUAAAUAACAUUCUGUUUGAAUAAUAGACUGCUAGACAGUGGGAAUGCAAUUAUCCCAGAUGACUCAUAUCAAUCUGUUUACUAAUUUUGCGGCUCAAAUGAUAUUCAAAUUGCAGUGGCCCUCAAGAGAUUUGGACUAGUGGUAAGAGCGCAACACACAACUUGUCAUUAGGCGCAGGUCAUGGCUUCAAGCCAAAGUGUCUUGAACCAUGUGCCACCGACCCUUGUGGAUGUCUCGGUUUUAAAGAAAAUUACUCCACUUGCAGUGGACACAAAUGAUUUCGAUACAUAACAUAGUUCAAGUUUACGAAGUCAACUAGUUGCAUAGUGCAUACUAAGCUAAACACACAGUGGCUAAUCUUCAACACAUAAUAAACAAAGUUCCCCUGACUAGAAAUAUGUCAGCCAACAUCAACAAUAGUUGGGUACUUACAUUGCCAUAGCUUUCUCCAUGCCUUUCCCGUGAAUUGUCAAGAACACCUUCCCCGCACUGUCCAAGCUACUCUUGUCAAUUGCAAUUGCUCCGAACACCGCCCUGAAAGCACCACAAACCACUGCAGGAGCAGACGAAUUGGUCUUCCGUGAAACCCUGAUUAUCUUCUGUAAACCUAAGCGUCCUCCGUCAGCAACACACGAUGAUACCACAUUGGAGGACAGAUCCACAAUAACCUGGUUGAGAUCCUUGGGGGGCAUGUCGAUGUCCUUGCUAAGCAAUUGCAGAGAAACCGAACCCUCAAUCACCUUCUCCCCCAAAAUGCUCAAAGCUCUAUUGUUCUCUCCUGAGUAUGAUGCAUGCGUCAGUGCGCGUCGUAGCAACUCCACAUCUUGAAAUGUGUACCUAAAUGGAAAUGUAUUCAUACACAAGAGGAACUCAAUUUCAACCAGGGUUUGAUUAACUGAACAGAACAAUUAAAAGAAACGAGCUAAAGGUCAAAAACACACCUAAAAUAUCAAUUUUCCAAGUUUUACACCUAAACUAUCAGGUGUUUUUCCCAGCUAAACCUCAACUAUCAAUUGUUCGCUUGUACUACAUGGAUGUAUGUUUUAAUAAAUAGUUGAUGAUAGUCCAGUCAGGAAACUCAAAAAACCAAGCUACUCUAGGUGUGUUUUUGACCAGAAACUCUUAAGAAAAAAACAAAAAAUUACUAAAAAGGAGUACUGAAAUAAGUGAGAGAAAUUUACGGCAAAAAAUACACUACAGGUGUACGAGAUUUUCCUGUAUGCAUGAACUAUCACCGACUAUUUAUCAAAGCACACUUCAACUACCAAUUGUUCGCUUUUCCUAUCUGACAUGUGUGGUUUGAUAAAUAGCGGGUGAUAGUUCACUCCCGCACUUGAUAGUUUAGAUAUGACACUCAAAAGACUGAGCUAAUUUAAGUGUAUUUUUACCCUAAACUCUAAAAAGAAUACUAAAUUACUAAAACGUAGAUAAGAAUCAGAGAGAGAAAUUACUGGAUUUGGUUUUGAAGGGUUUCAAGAGCGAUAGAGAAAGGCGAAGUGGGUCUGAUUGAUAAGGAUGGAUUUGCCCGAGCCUGUCAAAAAUUGGUACUAUUAAAUAAGUUAGGGUUUAACAUUACUACAGGGAAAAAACAGAUUAUUACCUGAGGAGAAGAGUAGAGGGCUAAAGCAAGUAAGAUGGAGCAAAUAAAUCGCCGGAGAUGCCACAUGUUUCCGGUGAAAUGGGCAAGUAUUCCUCCUCGAUAACGACAAAGUAAAGCUCAGUCGAUUGACAUGCAGGCUAAAAAAGCAACUGGCUGUUUGGUAGUAGCUCGUUAGAAUUACGCAACUACUAGUAAUGUAGUUUUUAUUGUAAAGAUAAAUUUGAUAUGCUAAUCUAAUUUUAUAAAUUUUUUAUAUAAAAAUUAAUAAAGGAAAAAUUAGAUAAUAAUGCACAAAAUUUAAAUUCUAUAUUAUAAUAUUCCCUCCGUUCUCCUUUUUUUAUAUUACUAUCUUUAAUUAAAUGAAAUCUUAUCAAUAAAAUUAAAAUUAUGUCUAACAAAUAAGAAAAUGUAAUAUUCUUUUUAGGAUGGAAUCAUGUAUAAAAAAUAACCACAGAGGGAGUAAUUUAUGUAGAUAUUAAUUUUUUUAUUUUUUAUCUUACAUAAGAUAAUCUACAAAUUUCUUUAUAAUUUGUAUAUGUGUUAACUAAGUGAAUUUCUAAAUUUCAAAUUAAAGUCACGUUAAUUUUGUACACUUAAGUUAAUUUUGUUAACUUACUUGAGAAAAUUGAAGGAAAGGUGUCUUUUAAGUCUUGAAUAAAGGAUUGGUGAUAUUGACCAAUUUAAAGGGUCAAACAUAAUUAAAAAACUUGAUUAAGUUAAUUGUGGACUUGAUUAAUAUUUUCUAAACUUUUUAAUCUUUUCAAAAAUACAAACUAACCCACACCCACAAAACUUUCCUCCCUCUACAAAUCAAUCUCUCUCUCUGCUCUCUUUCUCUCGAUAGUUUCUCUCUCUAACUUCUCCCAACCAACAAUUUUUCAAAUUUCUCCCUUCAAUCUUGUGCAACUUCAACCUCUGGCAACAAAUAGUUUUAAGUUCUUGCCCGUUUCUUUUUUACUUUCAACCGUCAGUCGACGUGACAACAUUCUCUGGCGCCAACAACUUCGAGUUCUUCAUUGUUUCUUUUCGAUUUUCACAAGUAAAAAAAUAUGGCUUUUAAGUUAUGACGAAAAUGAGGAACUUGAUUUGUUGGUGUUUGUUAUUUUUUUUACGUUUUUUGUUAUUUUUUUUUAUUGUUUGUUAUUUUUUAGUUGAAUUUCUCAUCUAGAUGUAUCUACUACUGCUGUUUUUUAAUAAUGGAGAAAACAUGUAACAUGAAUUCAACAGAAGAGUAUUUGUUGCAACAUAUAUGACUAAUCUGUUCCACAGAUUAGUAAUCUGUUGCAACAUAUAUGACUAAUAUGUUGCGCAGAUUAGUAAUCUGUUGCAACAUAUAUGACUAAUCUGUUGCGCAGAUUAGUAAUAUGUUGCAAUAUAUAUGACUAAUCUGUUGCAACAUAUAUGACUAAUUUGUUGCAACAAAUGAGUAAUCUGUUGCAACAUAUAUAACUAAUUUGUUGCAAUAGAUUACUCAUCUGUUGGAUUCAUUUUAUAGUGUUGUAAUGUGAAUCCAACAUAUGGGUUAUCCGUUGCAAUAAAUUAGUCAUAUAUUACAAUAGAUUACUCACUUGUUGCAAUAGAUGAUUCAUAUGUUGGAUUCAUGUUGCGGGUUCUAUCCACUGUAGCAGUAGCAGAUACACCAAAUAAGAAAUUCAACAAAAACAAUAAUUUUACUUACAAAAUAAGCUAUGAAGUAAUGUCCAAGUGAUAUACGAACAAAAUUUGACCUAAAAAAAUUUUAAAAAAUUUCAAUAAAGACACAAUGAAUAAGUAAAACACAUGAAAAAUUUCAUGAAACGGGUAAAAAAGACAAAAAUAACAUACCAUACAUCAAGUGCAAGAGGAUCAAGGGGACAAACAUUUGAGUUCUUCUAAAAACGUUUAAGUUCCCUAAUAUUUUAAUUGCUUUCUAAUAGUUGACCCAUCUAUUACAACAGAUUUUCUAUCUGUUUGAUAAUUUCGAACAAAUGAAUCAUCUAAUGCAACAUGCUAGUCAUCUGUUGAUUCAAAUUAAGCAAUUAUUAGUAAUAACUAAAUUGAUUUAGCUAAAAUUAAAGACGUCUCUACGACAAUGGGACAAACAUUUGUGUUCUCCUAAUUAUAUUUGAGUUCCCUAGUAUUUUAAUUAUUUUCCAACAGAUUAUCUAUUUGUUGCAACAAGUUAGUCAUCUAUUGCAACAGAUGUUUAUAACAGGUUAGUCAUUUGUUUAUUCAAAUUAAGUAAUCAUUAAUAAAAACUAAAUUAAUUUAAUUAAAAUUGAAGACAAGUCGUUAAUACAAGACCUUAGAUAAGGGGACAAAUGUUUGAGUUCUCCUAAAAACAUUUGAGCUUUAGUAUUUUAAAUUGUUUUCCAACACAUAGAACUCGGAACCAACAUGAGCCACGGAAUUAAAAAAGUGACCAAAAUAGACCACCUAUUUAAAAAGAUACCAAAAUAGGCUAAAGGUAAUAAUUUAUUACAUUUUCUACUUUUUUUCUUAACGGUCAAUUAAUGGAGUUGACUUUUACAAAAACGUAAGAAUUUCUUACAUUUUACAUUUUUUUGGUAAAACGUAAGAAAUUCUUACGUUUUAUAAAAAAAAAUAUAUAAGUAAGAAUUUCUUAUGUUUUACACGAUAAUCGAGGAAAAAAAUACAAUAAAUUGUUAAAUCAAUUAAAAAGAUACUAAAAAAGAGUUGUUCAACGUAACAAAAAGUUACGUUCUCAACUUUUUUAUAGCAGUGAUCCCCCACCCACAAUUCCCUUUUCCACAAAUGUCCAUCGCUUCUACUUUUUCCCUUUUUUACAUAUGAUAAUUAUGAAUUUUUUUAUUAGUUAAAUUUAUUUAUAUUUUACAUGUAGUUCAAAUAAUUUAUUUUUUCUAAUAAAUUUUACGUUUUACAUGAAAAAAAUUUAAAAAAAGAAGUAUCAAUUACCUCAUUAACUUAACAAUUUUCUUAUAUUUAGUCUAUAUCAUAAAACAACCACUUCUAUCCUUAAUUAUCCGAUUUUUCUUUAAAAAUAUUAUACUUUUGAGUUUUUCUCUACUCCAAAAUAGUGAAAUAUUGAAUUAUCGUCAAUCAAAUAUGCUACUAUAUACAAGAAUUAUAUUUUUUUAAGAGUGUUCCAAAAAAAAAACUAUAUUUUCUUAUAUUAAUUUAGGAGGGUUCCUAAAUUAAAUUGUGAUUUUUUUCUCCAUUAAUUAUAAUAUGAAACGUAUUUGUGCAUGUGAGUCUCCUCAAUAUCCUAAUUGAAACACUAAUAAAAAUCUACGAUGAAUCACUAUCCGAAAAAAUUAAUUUCAUAUUUUUAACACAGCAAAAAAAUAUAAUUCUUGUAUAUAGUAGCAUAUUUGAUCGACAAUAAUUCAACAUUUCACUAUUUUGGAUUAGAGGAAAGUUUAAAAGUAUAAUAAUUUUUUAGAGAGAAAUCGAAUAAUUAAGGAUAGAAGUGAUUAUUUUUUUUAUAUAAAAUAAAUAUAAGAAAAUUGUUAAGUUAAUGAGGUAAUUGAUACUUCUAUUUUUUAAAUUUUUUAUGUAAAACAUAAAAAUUUAUUACAUAGAGGAAAAAAUAAAUUAUUUGAACUACAUGUAAAAUCUAAAUAAAUUUAACUAAUAAAAAAAUUCAUAAUUAUCAUAUGUAAAAAGAGGAAAAUAUAGAAGUGAUGGGACAUUUGUGGAAAAAAGAAUUGUGGGUGGGGGACCACUGCUAUAAAAAAGUUAAGAACGUAACUUUUCGUUAUGUUGAACAACUCGUUUUUUAGUAUUUUUUUAAUUGAUUUGAUAAUUUACUGCAUUUUUUUCUCGGUCAUCGUGUAAAAUAUAAGAAAUUCUUAUUCUUACGUUUUACAAAAAAAAUGUAAAACGUAAGAAAUUCUUAUGUUAUUUGUAAAAGUCAACUCCGUUAGUUGACCGUUAAGAAAAAAUAGAAAACGUAAUAAAUUAUUAUGUUUAGACUGUUUUGGUAACUUUUUAAAUAGGUGACCUAUUUUGGUCACUUUUUAAAUUCUGUACCUCAUUUUGGUUCUGAGUUCACAUAUAUCUUGUCUAUUUAAUAAUUUUCAAUAUAUGAGUCAUAUAUUGCAACAUAUGUCUAUUGCAGCAGGUUAGUCAUCUGUUGCAACAAAUGUCUAUAUAUGUUUGGUCAUUUUCAACAAAUGUCUUUAACUGAUUGGUCUUUUCCAACAGAUUACUCAUCUAUUGCAACAUGUUAAUCGAAAUCCUAAUUGAACUUAUCAAUUCAUCUUUAAUUUUAGUUAAAUCAAUGUUGUUAUUACUAAUAAUGUCUUAAUUUGAAUCAUUUCAAAUAAAAUUGAUCAAUUAACACUUUACUCAAGACGAAUACACUUAGAUGAUCAUGUAAUUACUAUGAGAUUAAUUGAAAUCGUAAUUAAAUUCUCAAUUCAUCUUUAAUUUUAGUUAAAUCAAUGUUGUUAUUACUAAUAAUGUGUUAAUUUGAAUCAUUUCAAAUAAAAUUGGUCAAUUAACACUUUACUCAAGACGAAUACACUUAGAUGAUCAUGUAAUUACUAUGAGAUUAAUUGAAAUNNNNNNNNNNNNNNNNNNNNNNNNNNNNNNNNNNNNNNNNNNNNNNNNNNNNNNNNNNNNNNNNNNNNNNNNNNNNNNNNNNNNNNNNNNNNNNNNNNNNNNNNNNNNNNNNNNNNNNNNNNNNNNNNNNNNNNNNNNNNNNNNNNNNNNNNNNNNNNNNNNNNNNNNNNNNNNNNNNNNNNNNNNNNNNNNNNNNNNNNNNNNNNNNNNNNNNNNNNNNNNNNNNNNNNNNNNNNNNNNNNNNNNNNNNNNNNNNNNNNNNNNNNNNNNNNNNNNNNNNNNNNNNNNNNNNNNNNNNNNNNNNNNNNNNNNNNNNNNNNNNNNUGAUCACUCUACUCAGGACGAACACACUUAGUUGAUCGUGUAAUUACCAUGAGAUUAAUUAAAACAGUAAUUGAACUUAUUAAUACUAGUUAAAUCAAUUUAGUUAUUACUAAUAUAAUGGCUUAAUAUGAAUCAAUAGAUGACUAAGAUGUUGCAAAAGAUGAGUAAUCUGUUGAAAAUAAUCAAACAGAUAAAGACAUCUGUUGCAACAGAUUAGUCACCUAUUGCAACAAAUUAGUAAUCUGUUGAAAAUAACAAAUAGAUAAAGUCAUAUGUUGCAACAAAUUGGUCAUCUGUUAGAAAUGACCAACAGAUAAAGACAUUUGUUACAACAGAUAACUAAUCUAUUGCAACAUAUGUGUAUAUCUGUUUGAUAAUUUUCAACAAAUGAUUCAUUUGUUGUAACAGAUUAAAUCUGUUGCAAUAGGUUAUACACUUAAAUGAUCAUGUAAUUACUAGGAGACUAAUUGAAAUUGUAAUUAUUAAAUCAAUUUGGCUAUUAUUAACAAUGGCUUAAUUUGAAUCAUUUCAAAUAAAAUUAGUCAAUUGAUUACUCUACUCAGAACGAACACACUAAGAUGAUCGUGUAACUAAUAUGAGAAUAAUUGAAAUCGUAAUUGAACUUAUCAAUUCAUCUUUAAUUUUAGUUAAAUUAAUGUAUGGCUUGGAAUCAUUUUAAAUAAAAUUGGUCAAUUGAUAACUCUACUCAGGACGAACACACUUAGUUGACCGUGUAAUUACCAUGAGAUUAAUUAAAACAGCAAUUUAACUUAUUAAUACUAGUUAAAUCAAUUUAGUUAUUACUAAUAUAAUGGCUUAAUAUGAAUCAAUAGAUGACUAACAUGUUGCAAAAGAUGAGUAAUCUGUUGAAAAUGACUUAACAGAUAAAGACAUCUGUUGGAAAUGACCAAACAGAAAAAGACAUUUGUUGGAAAUGACCAAAUAAAUAUAGACACAUGUUGCAACAAAUGACUAACCUAUUGCAAUAAAUGACUCAUCUAUUGAAAAUUAUCAAACAAAUAUAGACAUCUGUUGCAACAGAUGACUGAGUUGUUGCAGCAGAUGACUCAUCUAUUGAAAAUUAUCAAACAUAUAGGAUAUAUGUUGGAAAAUAAUUUAAAAUACUAAAGCUCAAAUGUUUUUAAGAGAACUCAAAUGUUUGUCCCCUUGUUUAAGGUCUUGUCUUUAAUUUUAGUUAAAUCAAUUUAAUUAGUACUAAUAAUUACUUAAUUUGAAUCAUUUUAAAUAAAAUUUAUCAAUUGAUCAUUCUAUUAAGGAUGAAUACAUUAAUUGAAAUUGUAAGUGAACUUAUCAAUUCAUCUUUAUUUUAGUUAAAAAAAAAUUAAUUUAGUUAUUACUAAUAAUGACUUAUUUUGAAUCGUUUCAAAUAAAAUUGGUCGAUUGAUCACUCUCCUCGAGACGAAUACACAUAGUUGAUCAUGCAAUUAUUAUGAGAUUAAUUGAAAUUGUAAGUGAACUUAUCAAUUCAUCUUUAAUUUUAGUUAUAUCAAUUUAGUUAUUACGAACAAUAGCUUAAUUUGAUUCAUUUCAAAUAAAAUUGGUCAAUUGAUCACUCUAAUCAUGACAAAUACACCUAGUUGAUAAUUUUAUUACUAUGAGAUUAAUUGAAAUUGUAAGUUUAUCUUUAAUUUUAGUUAAAUCAAUUUAGUUAUUACUAAUAAUAUCUUAAUCUGAAUUAUUUCAAAUAAAAUUGGUCAAUUUAUCACUCUAUUCGGGACGAAUACACUUAGUUAAUCAUGUAAUUACGAUGAGAUUAAUUGAAAUUGUUAGUGAACUCAUUAAUUCAUGUUUAAUUUUAGUUAAAUCAACAUAGUUAUUACUAAUAAUGGCUUAAUUUGAAUCAUUUAAAAUAAAAUUGGUCAAUUAAUUAUUCUACUAAGGAUGAAACACUUAAUUGAUCAUUUAAUUACUGAGAUUAAUUGAAAUCAUAAUUAAACUUACUAAUUCAUCUUUAAUUUUAGUUAAACAAAUGUAGUUAUUUCUAAUAAUGAUUUAAUUUGAAUUAUUUCACAUAAAAUUUGUCAAUUAAUCAUUCUACUCAGUACGAAACACUUAAUUGAUCAUGUAAUUACUAUGAAAUUAAUUGAAAUCAUAAUUGAACUUAAUAAUUCAUCUUUAGUUUUAGUUAAAUCAAUAUAGUUAUUUGUAGUGAUGACUUAGUCUGAAUCAUUUCAAAUAAAAUUGGUCAAUUGACCACUCUACUCAGGACGAACAUACUUAGUUGAUUGUGUAAUUAUAAUGAGAUUAAUUGAAACUGUAAUUGGACUUAUUAAUUCAUAUUUUAUUUUAGUAAUGAAUUUAGUUAUUACUUAUAAUGACUUAAUGUGAAUCAACAGAUGACUAACAUGUUACAACAGAUGAGUAAUCUGUUGGAAAUGACCAAACAAAUAAAAAAAAUUUGUUGAAAAUGACUAAACAGAUAUAGACAUUUGCUGCAACAAAUGACUUACUUGUUGCAACAACUAAUUCAUCUAUUGAAAAUUAUUAAACAGAUAUAAACAUCUGUUGCAACAGAUGACUAAGUUAUUGUAACAUAUGAUUCAUCUGUUAGAAAUUACUAAACAGACAAAAUAUGUGUUGAAAAAUAAUUUAAAAUACUAAAGCUCAAAUGUUUUUUAGGAAAACUCAAAUGUUUUUCCCCUUGUCUAUGGUCUUGUCUUCACUUUCAGUUAAAUUAAUUUAAUUAUUAUUAAUAAUUGCUUACUUUGAAUCAACAAAUGACUAACCUGUUAUAAACAUUUAUUGCAACAGAUGACUAACUUGUUGCAACAAAUAGGUGAUCUGUUGGAAAAUAAUUAAAAUACUAGAGAACUUAAACAUUUUUAGGAGAACUCAAAUGUUUGUUCCAUUGUAUUAAAGACUUGUCUUUAAUUUUAGCUAAAUCAAUUUAGUUAUUACUAUAAUUGCUUAAUUUGAAUCAACAGAUGACUAACACGUUGCAACAAAUGAUUCAUCUGUUGUAAAUUAUCAAAUAGAUAGAAAAUCUAUUAUAAAAGAUGGGUUAUCCAUUAGAAAACAAUUAAAAUAUUAGGGAACUUAAAUGUUUUUAGGAGAAAUCAAAGUUUGUCCCCUCGAUCCUAUUGCAUUUGAUGUAUGAUACACUAUUUUUUUCUUCUUUACCUGUUUCAUGAAAUUUUUUCAUGUGUUUCACUUAUUCGUUGUGCCCUUGUUGAAAUUUUUUAAAAUUUUUUAGGUCAAAUUUUGUUCGUAUAUCACUUGGACAUUACUUCAUAGGUGAUUUUGUAAGUAUAAUUAUGAUUUUUGUUGAAUUUUUUAUUUGGUAUAUUUGCUAUUGCUACAAUGGAUAGAACCUGCAACAUGAAUCCAAUAUAUGAGUCAUUUAUUGUAACAAGUGAGUAAUGUGUUGCAGCAUAUGACUAAUUUGUUGCAACAGAUGACCCAUAUGUUGGAUUCAUGUUACAACACUAUAAUACAAAUCCAGCAGAUGAGUAAUCUGUUGCAAAAGAUUAGUCAUAUAUGUUGCAACAGAUUAGUCAAUAUGUUACAACAGAUUAGUUAAUAUGUUGCAACAUAUUAGUCAAUAUGUUGCGACAGAUUACUCAUCUGUGCAACAAAUUACUCAUCUGUUGGAUUCACGUUACAUAUUUUAUCUACUGUUGAAAAAACAGCAUUAGCAGAUACACCCAGAUGAGAAAUUCAACUAAAAAUUAUAAUUUUACUUAUUAAAAUCACCUAUAAGUAAUUCCCAAGUGAUAUACGAAUAAAAUUUGACCUAAAAAAUUUGAUCAAGUAGCAAUAAUAGCGGUAACAAUAAUGUUCAACAACAAGAAGAUGAUGAUAAUGAACAAAAAGAGAUGAUAAUGAAGAACAAAAUGAUGAUAAUGAAGAAAAUGAUGAAUAAAGCAACAACAACAAUGAACAACAAAAAUCACGAAGAGAGAGAAAACUCCAAUAAAUAAGAAGAGAGAGAAACGUGCCUUUUUUUUCCUCAUUUCUAGUUAUAUUAGGUUUUAUAUUGGAUCAAAGUGUAAAUUAAAAAACUUAUGAGUUAUUUUUAAAUUUUUCUUACUUUUUUAAUUCUUAAUAAAGUAAUUGUCACCUCCACUUAAUUAUUAAGAUUUGUGACACCCACACUUCAUUUUAAAACUCUUUUGUCACAGCCCAAAGCCCCAACUUACUUCCUUACUAGAAUAUUUUACUCCCUCCUUAUUUGAUGAAAAGAAGAGAGAGCCUCAUUUGAUGCUCAAAUUGCAACAACAAAGUCUUUCAUAUAUUUAUGAGAAAAAAUAUAAUUUAAAUUUUCUUAGUUAGAUGUCCAAACGACCCUUAAUAUAUAAAUGGCCUAAAGAUUGUCCCAAAAUCCCCCUUACACAACUUGGGAAAUCACCUUCCACAUCAAAACGUUUUAAAUAUAUGUGUCUCCAAGUAAAUUUGCCCGCACGAUCUUAAUUAUGUUAUUGAAUUUAGAUAUGAGAUUUUCUAAGUUGGAUGUGUAGCUGUUGACAGCUUUGGACAUUUAGCUACUGCUGCUUCUGCUUGAAGACAAGUAAACACGAUAGUUGGAAGGAGAGGAGAUAUAUGUGCACACAAUCAGAAUGUUUAGAGCUUGUGCAACAGAAGAUGGUCACACAGAUCUAGCAAUUUGGUAACUUUUUGUUAGAACAGAUUAGUCUUUGUUGUAUGUAUAAUAAAGCAACUUCAAACUAAAUUUUUUCCCAAUUCCUAUUCCAUAUGGUCUAAAGAAAAACUUCUAGACACAUCCAGGAAAUGCGAGAGAAUUUAAUGGUUUCAAUAUAUAAGAGGAAAUUGGAUCUCUUUUUCGUGGGUAUAUAUAGGACAAAUACUUAAUGUUGACUCUGAUAUUUCAGGGACAUGAUGUUUACAACCAUGGAGUAAUAAUUGAAUGAGAACUAUUUAAUCUCCACCUCCUUCCACCUUCUUUUUUUUUUUUUUAAACAAAACUUUGAAGUAUCUCUAGACGAUGAAAAAAAGAAGCUAUCCAGAGAAGAUGAGUAAUUGAGUAUUUUUUUUUUUGGUUAAAAGGGGGGCAAUUCAUUAACAGCUUAGCCAAGGUCAACACGAGUAUCAGUGGGUAGAGCUACUGCUCCACUCGAAGUAUUGGGGGGUGGGGGGUUAGAUGAGUUAGCAUGAGCCACAUUCUGGCCAUGUAGGUCCAAAAUAGAAGGAUUAAUUAGCCUAGCAAAAACUUUUCCUUCCUUGUCCGCUUCUACGAAAGGUACUGCAGAAGCCGGUGGGCUUGACAAAAUAAUUGGCACGCCAAGUUGCAUGAGUUUGCUGCCUUCCUUAGCCAACCUGUCCGCGACUCUAUUUUGUUCCCUAAAGGUAUGGUUGAUUCUUGUUGCCUCGAGUACCUGCAGGAGGGACCUGCUCUCAAAAAUCAGGUUAGUAUAAAGUUCGUGGCCACGGGUAAUAGCGCUGACAAGCUCCUUUGAGUCAGUACAAAUGAUGAGAGGUUUGAUACACAUUGUACUAGCAAUCCUCAGUCCUCUAAGCAGUGCCUUGAUCUCAGCAUGCAGGGGGGUCGAAUGAGAGGUGCAUUCCAUGUAUCCAACAACCUACUCCCUUUGUGGUCUCUAAUAACAUGUUUCCAGUCAACAGGAUUCAUUUUAUUGUUAAAAAGGUUGUCAUUUCUAGUGAGCCAAAUGGUCCAUAAUAGUUGGGGUAGCAGAUGGUCCCAAGUAAUAUGCACAUUAUACUGGACAUUAUGUAAGUGUUUCCAGGCCUUAAGGGCCUGGUUGACAGUAAAGUAGUUUCCUAUGGAGAUGUGAUGCAUUUGGCUUGAUUGAUUAUGUUGUUCCAGCAGUGGAGGCAUUGGUGCAAGUCAAGAAGAUAUGGUCAAUAUCCUCACACGAAUGUCUGCACAAAGAGCAUGAGGAGUUAUUGGUUAUGCCAAGUCUGUGCAAGUAGUAUUUGGUCUGUAGCCUGCCAUGGGCAAGUAGCAAAAUGAAAGUCUUGAUCUUAUUGGGAGCUGGCAACUUCCAGAUCCAAGGGAAAUCAAAGGGAGGCUGGGCAUUCCCUUUUUCAGCAAUGGAGGUGUAGACACUAUUAGUAGUGAAUCUUCCAUUAGGGGUUGUACUCCAGUACAUAAUGUCCUCUUUGGUGGGGUUGGAGUGAGCUAGAGUGUCCUCCAUGUAUUGGAGGAUAGCCGGAGGGAGUUCGAAGGAUAUGCUGGAGAGAUUCCAGCCUCCAUCAGUUAGCAAGGUGCCAACAGUGAUGUUAUCCCCAUUAUGAGGAAGAGGGCCUUCUAUGAGUUCUCUUAAGGGUGGUUUAUGAGGGAUCCAUCUAUCCAAGAAGAGCUUGGCCUUAUCACCCUUGUUCAUAUGCUAUCCAAGACUUUUGGUGCAUUGGUUCCAUCCUUGUUGAAUGUUUCUCCAGGUGCUAGACACCACUCUAUUAGCCGAGUGACCCCUGGGGGGUCUCUGAUAUUUAGAGGUGAGGAUUUUCCCCCAUAGGGAGGUAGGAUUUUUGACUAACCUCCAAGCCAAGCUUGCAUGGAGUGCCCUGUUUCUGAUCUCAGUUUUGUGAAAACCAAGUCCCUCUUUGGUCUUAGGCUUGGUGAUAGUAUCCCAACUGAGUAAGUGCAAUUUCUUUUUCUCAUCCUCAGUUCCCUAGAUAAAAUCUCUUUGCAUUUUAUCCAUGGAACUAGUGACUUUCCUAGGGAUUUUUAUGUAUUGCAUGAGGUAGGUGCGCAUGCUGCUAAGGGUAGCCUUAGCCAGAAUAGUCCUACCAGUCAUGUUGAGUUGAGCAGUUUGGUUUUCCAACCAAAAAGUUUGUUAGCCAUGCAGUCAAUAAUAGAUUGGAAAUCAGCAUUAGUGGGGGCUUUGUGGAAGAUAGGGAAGCCCAAGUAGUUGCCAAACUCAGGUUUCCUAUCUAUGCCCAGAAUGGUAGAGCAAGUGGUAGCAUUGUGGUUGGUGGUGUUAGAAGAUAAGAGGACUCUAGACUUAGCUUUAUUUAUUUUCUGUCCAGAGAGAGAGCUGAAUUGGUCUAGGGUAGACAGAAUGAUGUUGCAGUUGGCUAGCUCUAGCAAAUAGGGUGAGGUCAUCUGCAAAAAAUAGAUGGGAGAUUUUUGGACCAUCUAUAGUGAUGGAGAUAGGGGUCCAGUCCUUUUUUGUGACAUGAAGGUCUAUGGUUCUAGCUAGUCUCUCUAUGCAAAUGAUAAAGAGGUAGGGGGAAAUGGGGUCGCCUUGUCUGAACCCCCUGGUAGGGGUGAAGUGGGUAGCAGGGCUCCCAUUGACAAGGAUGGAGAGAGAGUUAGUGGUGACACAGGACAUGGUGAGUCUAGUGAUCUUGUUAGGGAAAUUGAAGAAGUGGAGAGAGUCAUGAAUGAACGACCACUCUAGCCUAUCAAAGGCUUUUUCAAGAUCAAUUUUGAGGAUCAUAUUAUGGUGUUUGCCACGCAUUUUCCUAAAAUAUGAGAUGUAUUCCUGAACAAUGAUGGCAUUGUCUGCAACUGUUCUGUUGGCUAGGAAACUGGCCUGGGAGGGGCCAAUGAUGGUCCCCAGGAUAGGCUUGAUUCUAUUGACAAUAAUCUUAGUGAUGAGCUUAUAGGAAGUGUUGCAAAGGCUAAUGGGCCUGAAGUCAAUCAUUGAAGAUGCAUCGGGGCAUUUAGGGAUAAGGCAGAUAAGGGUUUUGUUUAUCUCUUCCGGGAUAGUGUAGUCCUGGAAGACCUUGUGACAAAAGGCUGCUGAUUUAUCACCUACAAUGUCCCAAUAUUUCUGAUAGAAGAGGGGGUGGAGGCCAUCAGGCCCAGGAGCUUUGAGAGGUUUAAAGCUCUUGAGAGCAAUGGUGAUCUCAGAGUCUCUAAGAGGGUGUUCAAGGUUCUUCUUUUGAGCUGAGGUAAGGAUGCGGGUAGUCUCUCCAGUUUGGUUCCUGUGGAGGCCAAUGGAGGUAUGGUCAGAGGUAUAGAGCUUGUGGUAGAAGGUGGAUAUGUGAUUCGUAAUACCAUCUUUAUCAGGGAUGAUGCUACCUACCUCAUCCUUAAGAAAAUGGAUCUUUUUCCUCUUCCUUCUUACCAUGGUUGAAGUGUGGAAGAAUUUGGUGUUAGCAUCACCACAUGUGAGCCAGUUAAUAUGGGAUCUGACCAUCCAAAAGUCCUCCUCUGACUGUAAGAGCCUGUUGUAAUCGGAGAAAAGGUCGUUUUCCAGGUCAUGGAGGUAUGGGCUGGUGUGGUAAUGAGCAGACUUUUGGAUGCCAUCUAGCCUAGCUAAAAUCCUUUUAAUUUUGUGAAAGAUGUUUCCAAAUGUGUCUCUACUCCAGAUGGAGGCCUCCUGCCGGAAGAGUUGGAUAGAAUGGGUAAGGGAGGUGUGUUCAUGAAAGGAUUGUCUAAUGAUAUUUUGAAGUGUAUGGUGCGAGCACCACAUGGGCUCAAAUCUAAAAGGCUUAUUGGGGGAGGUAGGGGAGGGAUUGGUAAGAGUGAGGAGCAUAGGGCAGUUGUCUGACCUUGUUCGAGGCAGGUGUGUGACAGAUGCCUCCGGGAAUUGAUUUAUCCUCGAGGUAUUAGCAACACACCUAUCAAGUCUCUCAAGGAUAAGGUUCCUCCUAUGCUUAUACCUCUUAUUGUUCCAGGUGUAUUUGCAACCUUUAAACCCUAGAUCUAUCAUCCCACAGUUAUCAAGACACUCUUUAAAAAAAGAGGAUCUAUUAUUGUUAAUACUUAGGCCACCAAGUUUUUUUUUGGCCAAGAGAACUUCAUUGAAGUCUCCUCCCAUUAGCCAUGGGCCUGAAUGCGUCUGGGCCAUGAGCUUAAGCUCUUCCUAGAGGCCUUGCCUAAUAAGGAAGUUAGGGCUAGCGUAGAUGGCAGAGAAAAGCCAAGAGGAGGGGUUUGGGAGAUGGGUUACCUUGAGAAUGACGUGAAUGCCCUGGGCUGUGACCGUAAAGUUGUCAAGCUGGAUGCGAUCUGGGUGCCACAUGAGGACGAUUCCAGUGAGACCAACAACAGGAGAUUGAACAUGGGCUUCAAAGCCCAUAGUAGUAGUGAGGUGCUUGUGCUCCGACAUCUUAGUCUCGAGAAGGACAAGCAUAGCAGGGCGGUGAAGCUUGAGCAUUGCGUCGCACUGACGCCUGAAGUUAGAACUGUUGGCUCUUUUAGUGUUCCAAAUCAUCACAUUCAUUGGGGUGGUGAGUGGGGGGGGCGGUAUGUAUGACUGGGUCCUUCCCCUUGUCCAGUUGGGGGUGGUCCAGAACUAUGAUGAUUGGUUUUAGUAGCAUUGCUGGGGGGGGGGGGGGGGGGGGGGUCCUCAGAGAUAGCGAGAAUAGCUUCUUCUCCAGAGGGAGAUACACCAUAAUAGCUGAGCUAAAUGGCUCGUUGAAUUCUUUCGUUAGUGGCUUGUCUAGGGCUAAGAUGUCUAGAGUUGGCUCCCCGAACAUUGCCAGAAAGUUUUCUAGCUCCUCGUUGCUCUGUCUGAGAGAGUCCAGGAGAGUUGAGCUUGUGCUUCCUGGGCCUUCUGCCCCUGAUGUUGGGGGCACUGGGGCAUCUGACUCUAGAGGUUUGGGGAUGAAAGUAAGUGCCUGGGAGGNNNNNNNNNNNNNNNNNNNNNNNNNNNNNNNNNNNNNNNNNNNNNNNNNNNNNNNNNNNNNNNNNUCUGGUGGAGUCAGGUUCCCGGCUUUGGAAAAAAAAGUUUUGAGCAUUGUUUGCUGCCAUAGUUGGUUCCCCAUUUCCAUCACCGCUUGGUCCAGGGCUUUCUUGGUUAUUUGGGCUAGGUAUGCCGGGUCCUGGAGUAUUAGAGUGAUGUUCUUCUCUCUCACCUUUGCCUGAAAUUGCAGAUGGACUCCUUGAAGUGCAAGUUCCAUCCAAGAGGUCGAAGUUGUGUUUGGCGCAGGUGGUGUUGAGAUGAAGAUUGAGGGCGUCGUGCUGCUUUCCAAGUUCGGGUCCAUUGGGAGAGGUUUGGAAAAGGCAAGUAGUAGAUUUGGAAAAGGUGUGAGUAGCUUCCUCCGACCAUUCUUUCAAGGUGGCAUUAGUAGUAGUAAUAUUAGGGUAGUUAAUUGAAGUGACCUCAUCGGUCACUUCAAAUGUUUUGCUCUCAUUAUUGCUUAGGGCAAUGGCGAAGGGAUUGCUUAGGGGUUUUCCAAUAACUGUAGAAACGGAUGGAGUUUUCAAUGUGAAGGUAGGGGCAGGUCUGUGAGGAGGGGUGGCAUAGAGGCCCCAUCGCAUUUAAUCAACGCGUCAGUUCCCAGUGGAAUAAAUUUAUUGAAGGUAAUAAAUUCAGAGGGUAUAUUGGUUGGGGCAUUCUCAUUAGGGUGCAUGUGUGGCACCGGAGUGGGCCUAUUGUUGGGGCCUUCUUUUUGGGCUUAUUUUGAGGGGCCCUGCCAUCAUGAUGGGGAGUUGGGCCACAAUCCAAGAUUUGAUUUGGGCCACUCAGGUUUUGGGCUGAAGCAGGGUCAGUGAACAUACCUGUGGUUUUGUCAUAGACCCUUACCUGUGUUUGGGCCUGGGCCUUAGUGUUGCUGACCCGUUCUGGGCUUCUCUUCAAGGGCGUCCUCCUUUUUGGAAAGGAGACGACCCGCCAUUGGCCAUCCGUAGGAAGCUGUAUAGUUUCACUGGUGGAUGGGGUGCCGGUGCAGAUUGGUGUCGUGGUGGUAGGGCAUUCCCCGUGAGUAUGUCCCAACAUGCCGUAGUUGGUACACAAGAUCUUCUCCCCUUCGUAAAUCACCAUUUGUCUAUGAGUGCCAAUGGUAAUGUGGGAUUUAAGUGAGUGCUCUAAUGGUACCUGUACACAAAUGCGUGCAUAGCGUCCACGCAGCGCAGUGGAGGUGCAGGUGUCGAUCUUGAGUAAGGCACCAAGUUUCCUUCCGAUCUUCUCGAGAAUCUGCUGGUCGUAGAACUCGGUUGGUAGUUGUGGUAGACGUGCCCAAAUUGCAGUGUGGGUGAGGCUCGCUUCCUGGGGGACGAAAUUGGGCUCCCAUUUCCGAAUGGUAAGGAAGUUUCCUGUGAUGAACCAUGACCCUUCAUUCAGGACUCGUUCCAUGCUUUUAAUUAGGGAGAAUUUGGCAAUGAAGUAGUCAUUCCCCAGAUCAAUGAGGAUUAAGUUCUCACCCAGUUUCCACAGGUCAGUGAGUUUAUUUCUAAGGUAGGCAUGUGACAAUCGUUUCUUGUAGAGUUUAAUGAUUACUGAUAGACUCUAUGGUUGAUAGAUCCUUUGUUUUUCUUGGUCGGUUAGUUCGAUUGCAUCUUCAUCGUUCUCUUCCUUUUCCAAUGGGAGCCCGUCAUAGAUGUUGUAGGAACGGUUGAUUUCUUUUUCCUUAUUGAGAAAGACGUCCUUGAAGGAGGAGUAGGCUGGGCUUUCAAUUUCCAUGCUGGAUUCUCGAGGGUCGGGAGGUUCUGGUGGGAUCGUGGUAGUUAUCUGCGGUGUGUUAGGUAUACUCAUGGGGUUGGUUUAGUAAUUGAGUAUUAUUAAAACAGAUAUAUCGCUGUUUGAUUCAGUCGGCAGACUCGACACCAGUGGAAAUGUUGCCCACCCGCCUAUAAUUGACUAAUUAUCAAUGUCCAUUAUUUUCAAUUCUUUUGUAACUUGGAGUUGGUGUGGUGAAGUGCUGUUCUCAAUCUUUUUGCUCUAACAGCAGAAAGAACUACGAGUAAUAUUCAUUAUAAAAUUCCCUUUGUAGGUAGAAGAGGUAGUGCAUGUUACACAUCUUAUUGGAGAGGGAUGAAUGAAAUGGAAACUUGUUUCUGUUGUUUGUUUGAUAAGAAUAUAUCAUCAAGACUUAAAAGGAAUGUUUUAUAAAGUGGUGGUAAGAUGAGGCAUGUUAGUGGAGUGUUGGCCGAUCACGAAUUACAUGUUCAGAAAAUAAAAGUAGCGAAAUGAGGAUGUUGAGAUACAUGUGUGGAAAUACUAGGAGAGAGAAGAUCAAAAAUGAAGUUUUGCGACAUAAGGUGGGAGUAGCUUUCGUGGUGGACAAAAUGGGGAGGCGAUGUUGAGAUGAUUUGAACACAUAAAGGGAAGAUGCACAUAUUGCUAGUGAAGAGGUGUGAGAGGUUGGUUGUAGUCGGCCGGCAUAAAGAAGAGUAGGGGUAAGCUGAAGAAGUUUUGAAGCGAGGUGAUUAGACAGGACAUGAUACAUGCAGAUUACUGAGGACGUGUAUGUCCUUAGAUAGGAAGAUGUGGACAUGAAAGAUUAGGGUAGAAGGUUAGUAGGUAGCUGACUAUUGUCGAAUUCCCUUGUCAAUAUGGCAUUAUUACUCUCCUAACUAUUAUAUUUUUCAAUUUUAGUAUCACCUGUUGUUUUGAUUGCUUCAGUUAUCGUAUUAUGUGUUCCCCUGGUGCUUUAUUUCAUUGUUUUAUAGUAUCCCAUAAAUUUCUUAAAUAAAUAUAAAAUUUGUACAAAAAUUAAUGAAUUCAACCAAACUCGUAAUCUUUACUCUAGCUCCACCCUCGCUAGGAAGGAGAUAAAGGUUUGCCACUCAUUAGAAAUGACAAACAGCCACAAUUAUUGGAAUCCAGAACCAAAGUUUGCAACAUGACUUCUUGGGGAUAACCAAAACAACUACAGAAAAGAGUUAAAGGAACCUCAAAAACCACGUUAGUUGCUUUGGUUCUUGUCUGACUCAUUCACUUCACCAUUUUGCUGCGGAGUGACAGAUGUAGUCAUCAAAUCAAAACCCAACUUUUGCUUUGUGAUUUCAUCAAGAACCUCAAUCAUUUCUUUUGAAAGAUGGUUCUUGAAAUCGCCCAUUUUGCCUCGCCGGAAAUAUAUGUUGUUUGCAAUAGUAGGACUAAACGCUCCAGAGUAUGUGCCCUCUUUAUUCACCUCCAAAUUGCUCAGUUUCUCAAAGCUGCAGAGCUCUAUUAUUCUCUCUACAAUGCCUUCACUUUCUUCCUCCAACGAAAAUGGCUGCCCCAAGAACUCUGCUAUUCUCUUUGCAUUAAAGAUUGGAUCUUUCUUCAAAUCCUCAUACUUCAAGAAAAGAACCCUCUCUGGAAAUUCUAAGCUGGCUUUAUAAUAUCCCAUCACAUGAUCCCAAAAUGGACCAAAAGGGGAAUACCCUAUAGUAAAUUGGUCAAAUGCUUCUGGUAGAGAAUUGAAAGGCACGUCUUUGGGUCUUAAUUUCUGCAUAAAGUACCAGAAAGAAACCAACACAUCUUUUGCAUUGCGAAACACAAACUAUUUUGCAUUUGGAGUCAUUACCUGUUAUAGACUUUGGUAAAGCAUUGAAGGCAAGAUGUGAUUGUAUGAGACAAGUGUUUGGUGUUGGAUUUGUUGGGUGCUUAAAUGCAUAGGCCUCUAGAUAGGGUACUAAUUCAUGUGGGUUUGAAAAGAGCAAAGGAUGCGUGCUAAAAUUGUCGUAUUGUGAUCUGUUUGUAAUGGCAAAAAGAAGGGCCUUGAGCCAUGUGGUGCCAGAUUUUGGGUGACUGGCUAGUAAGACACUGUUUGGUUUUGGCUCAAAGUGUUGCUGCUGAAGUACUAGCAGACCUUCUAGACUUUUUGUCCAAUACCAAAUACCUUUGUAUUGGUGAAUCUGAUCACUUAGCCAACCUCUUUCACUUGGAAGCUCAGAGAGUAUUUUAUCAACGGAUUCUUGGUGAUUUUUAUGGCUUUGUUCUUUGGUGGCAAGUGGCAACAUUUGUGAGUAAGGGGGAGUUCUGGGUAGAGAAGAAGUUUGCCAUUUGAGUUGAUGCUCAAAAGUAGCCGAAACUCUUGCUGCAUUUAUAAGACUUUUGAGCUUCGUUAGGUAGUUGGUCAGGAGCUAAGUUAUUUAUUGUUUAGCAGUUAGUUGAGAAACUUAGCUGUUCAUUGUUAAUUACUUACUUAUUUGUUGUUAAUUCCGGUAGUUAUCAGUAGAAUUAGUUAGUAAGCUAAGCCAAGUUUUGGUCUCUAUAUACUAUUACAUUGAUUUUUUUCUUUUUUUUUGGUUAGACUAUUACAUUUACAUAUACUAUUACAUUGCUUUACUGUCGAUGUUUACAUAUCUAAAAUGACAAUCUGAAAAAAGUUUUCACAACUUUUUCAUCUUUUCUCCUUUUCCUUUCUGCAUGUCUGGAUCAAGCGCAGAGGUGCUCUGAAUUAGUGAAGUUUACAUGUAUGUAUAAAAUCCCGUGUAAAUAAUAUCAUGAUUGAUAACAUUUAAUUCUUGUUCAUGUCUCAAAAUUCACUCAACUAUGAGAAAUGGAGAAAAAACGUCAUUUUCCUCUGAACAACUUACUUUGGUACUGUAACUAAACUUUCAUCUAUUUUCUCUCCUUAACAUCUUUUAAUCUUUUAAGUGUAUUAGUUUCACUUAUCACUCACACAGCGGAGAGUGCACUACACUCGCGCCAUGUCAUUGCCACAUCAGUGCCAUGUCGCUGCCACGUAAAAAGUUACCAUUGUUUUUUUAAAAAUCCUCACAUAAUAUAUCUAUAAUCUAUAUCUAUAAUCUAUAUCUAUAAUCUAUAAUAUACUAAAAAUGUGAAGACCCUUCAAAAAGUGAUUUAAACUUUUUGUACUUCAUUAAAAGACUUUCUUUAGACAAAACUGUCUUUUCACUAUUUCUUUAAAUUUAUUAUUUAAUUAUUUUUAUUAUAUUAACUAGGCUUCUUAAAAUAUAUGAGACUCAUAAAAUAUAUGAUAGAAGAAUCAAUUAAUAUUUUUCUUUUUCUACUAGAAUUCUUAAAAUAUAUAGGACUGCUAAAAUAUAUGGUAGGGGAAUUAAUUACUAAUAUUUUUUUUCUACUGUUCAAUUAGAAAAAUAUUCCUAAAAUAGGAUUCUAUUAAGGAAAUACUACGAUAAAUAUUGAAAUGUACGUUAUACUAGAAAACAAACCGGUUUGCCUAUUGGAGAAUAUGAUUGAUGUUCAUCUAACUUAAUUCAAUUGCAUGUCUAAAUUGGUGGAUAUUUGAUGUUCUAAUCCUCAAUUUCUUCACUGUUUUUGUCAGCAUAAUAUAAUUCGAAUGUGUGUGUAUAUAUAUAUAUAUAUUCUUUGUUUUAAUUCAAAAUCAUCUGCUAGGGUCAAAAUUUUCGCUCAGACAAAAAUUAGUUGGAUCAAAAUCGAAAUUUUGUGAUCACAAUUAUUUUUUUUUUAUAGUUUACAGGUCGUGAAUGAAUGUCAGUUGGACUUGAAGAAUUUCUUGUGUAAAGGUCAGGUUUAAUUGUAUUGUUUUGAUAUCUUUAUUAUCUUAUUGUUUUAUUUUAACUGUUAGAUGAAUGUGGGUCGACUUUGAAAUUUUUUGUAGGUAAAAGUUAGGUUUAAUUGUAUUAUCGUAAUAUCUCUAUUAGUUUGUUAUUUUGUGGUAGUUUACAGUUUGUAGAUGAAUCUCGAUCGGCUUUAAAAAAAAUUUGUGUGUAAAAUUUAAGUUUAAUUGUAUUGUUUUGAUAUCACUUUUAUCGUAUUAUUUUGUUGUAGUUUACAAGUGAUACAUAAAUGUUGGUCAGCUAUGAGGAAUUUUUUAAUGUAAAGUUUAGGUUUAGUUGUAUUAUUUUGAUAUCUCUAUUAUCUUAUUAUUUUGUUAUUGUUUACAAGUGGUAGAUGAGUGUCAGACGACUUUGAGAAAAUUUUUGUGUGUAAAGAUUCGAUUUAAUUGUAUUAUUUUGAUGUCUCUAUCAUUGUAUUGUUUUGUUGCAAUUUACAGAUGGUAGAUGAAUGCCGAUCGAUUAUUAAAAUAUUUUUUUUGUAAAGAUUAAGUUUAAUAAAUAAAUUCUCCAUCUUUACAUAUUCAAAAGAUAUUAAAUUUAAUUAUUAUAUUCAUCUUUAUUAUUUAAACAAAUAUCCUAUUUAGUGUAAUGUUUUAACUCAUUAAAGUGAAGUACACGCGCAAGAUGCGUACACCUAAACUAGUAUAUAUAUAUAUAUAAAUACCAAAAAAUACACUCCACCCCAUUUUUCUUUCUUCAUCAAACCCAUCCACCCGCACCCCGCGUGCCCCUUUUUCUUUCUUCUUCCCAGCCCCCACCCCACUCCCGCAAACACAAAAAAUACUCACCACCCCCUUUUCUUUCUUCUUCAAGACCACCCCAACCCCUCUCCCUGCAAUUCAAUUGAUGACAAUGGCCAUGGAUUUACAGUCUUGAUAAUUUUUUGCUAUGUAAAACAACAAAUUUGUUAUAAAUUUUUCUUUUUCUCAAUAAUCAAUUGAAAAAGUGUAUUAAAAUUUAUAAAUCUUUUUCUAUAUUUAUUUCUUUUUUGAACAAAUUGAUGAAGCGUAAUAGAGGUAGAGGUGGAGGGUGGGGGUUGGAGAUGCGGGUGUAAGAGAAAAAAAAUAGAAAAAUGGAGUGUGAGGUGCGGGGUUGGGGUGGGGUUGUCUGAAAACUUUUUGUGCUUAAAAGAGGGUGGGGAGUAGGGAUAAUCAUCUACUAUUUCUAGAUAAAUUAAUCGAGUAUUUUUUGAAAAAUUUGAUAAUUCAUCGAAUAUUUCUCGAAUUGAUGUUAUUUCUCGAAUAAUUACUUUACUUUGCUCCGGCCAUCAUUAGAAAUCAUUAUGAUUGAAUUUUAUAAUAAUCCCAUCGAAAAAAUGAUGUGGCUGUUAUAAAACAAUAAAGAACUAAGAAUAUUAACAUUACUAUUUUAAUAUCACUUGAAUUGAUGGAUAGUUCCUCAUUUUCUUGAGUCUCAGGCUCAGUAAUUCCUUCAGGAAUAUUAACAUUGUUCAAAUCUUGAACUUCCAUGUGAGGAUCUUUCGUAGAGUCAUCUUGACCAUUUGUUUUUCUUUUUCUAGGAUUUCGAUUCUUAGAACCUAAUGGUCUGCCACGCUUCAAGCGUGCUUUAUAUUCAUUAGCUAUGACACUAGUGGAUGGUUCUUUAGGGACAUCAAUUCGAAUUGGGACAUUCUCUGCAGGAAUAUGUGAUUUGGUGAUCCUUUUCAAAUCAGUAAAUGCAUUCGGCAUUUGAUUUGAAAUUUUCUGCAGAUGAAUAAUCUUUUGUACUUCUUGCUCACAAAUAAAAACACGUGGAUCAAGAUUAGAUAGUGAUGGAUUUUUUCACGAAAUUUCUCUUGUGAUGUUACUAUCUUCUCUCCCUAAUUUUGGGAAAACCACCUCAUCAAAUCGACAAUCUGCAAAUCGAGCAGUGAACAUAUCUUUUGUUAAUGGUUCAAGAUAGCGAAUAAUGGAGGGUGAUCCAAACCCAACAUAAAUUUCUAACCUUCUUUGGGGGCCCAUCUUGGUACGAUUUGGUGGUGCUAUAGGUACAUAUACACAGCACCCAAAAAUUUUCAAAUGAGAUAUAUUAGGAUUUUGAUCCAAAAUCAAUUGUAACGGAGAAAAUUUAUGAUAUUUUGUUGAUCUAAGACGAACAAGUGAUGCAACAUGCAAAAUUGCAUGACCCCAAACAGAAGCGGGCAACUUAAUUUUCAUAAGCAAUGGUUUUGCUAUCAACUGCAGACAUUUAAUUAAUGACUCGGCAAGGCCAUUUUGAGUGUGAAUAUGAGGUACAAGAUGUUCCACUCUUCUUAUCGCAAUCGAUAAGCAAUAGUCAUUAAAUGCUUGGGAUGAAAAUUCUAUAGCAUUAUCAAGGCAAAUAAACUUAAUUUGAUUAUCGAGAAACUGUGACCCUAAUCGUAUUAUUUGUGCCAAUAAUUUUGCAAAUUUCAAGUUGCGAGAUGACAAAAGGCACACAUGAGACCAUCUAGUGGAAGCAUCUAUUAGGACCAUAAAGUAUCUAAAAGAUUCACUAUGUGGGUGAAUGAGUCCACAAAUAUCCCCAUGUAUGCGUUCCAAGAACGCGGGGGACUUAAUCCCAACUUUUGUUGGCGAUGACCUCACAAUCAGCUUGCCUUGAUAACAAGCAUUGCAUGAAAAUUCACCAUUCGAAAGAACCUUCACGUUCUUUAAUGGAUGCCCAUUUGAAUUUUCUAUGAUUCGUCUCAUCAUUAUAGAUCCAGGAUGUCCCAAACGAUCAUGCCAAAGUACGAAAGUAUUGGAAUUAGUAAACUUCCGAUUUACUAUAGAAUGUGCCUCAAUUGCACAAAUCUUUGUCCAAUACAGGCCAGAAGAUAAAGCCGAGAAUUUUUCAAUAACACAUGUCUGCCCAGAGACAUUCUUGGUGAUACCAAGAUAUUCAAGAUUCAUCUCAUCAAUUGUCUUGAUAUGAUAACCAUUUUCACGGAUAUCUUUAAAACUCAUCAAGUUUCUCCGAGACUUAGGAGAAAACAUAAUAUUAUUUAUGAUGAGUUUAGUUCUCUUGGGCAAGAUUAUAAUGGUUUUUCUGAAGUAUUCAAUCAAAUUAGCACUACCAGAAAUUGUAGUAACAUUAAUCUUGCCCAUGUUUAGAUGAGAGAAUAUUUCUCGUGUUUGAAUAUCAUAUGUGUAGUGCCAGAAAUCAAACAAAUAUCUUCACAAUUGUACAACUUACUUUGAAAAUUAUCCAUAUCUUCAAAUAAAAUAACAUACACCAAAUAAAUAUAUAUUAAAUCUUUGUACAAAAUGAGCUUAUAAUAUAAGAAAUUGUUAAUCACACUUUAAUAAGCAAUAAAAAAAAUACUCCCUCCGUUUAAAAAAGAAUGAUCUACUUUAACUUGGUACAAAAUUUAAGAAAAUAAAGAAGAUUUUUGAAUUUUGUGGUUUAAAUUAAAGUUGUGUCAAAUGUACCAAAAUGUCAUUUAAUCUUGUGAUCCUAAACAUGUCAUGUGGAAAGUUGAAAUUAACAUAUUGCCAAAAAAGAAAAGAGGUCAUUUUUUUUUAAACGGACUAAAAAGAAAAGUAGAUCAUUCUUUUUGAAACAGAGAGAGUAUGUCCAUUUAGUAUGUGAUUAGCUUAGCUUAGCAUUUUAUUUUUCAAUAGCUUUAAUAGUUUACUAAGGAAAAAAAUGCAUUUUGUUCAGAACGUUAACAUGUAAACAAUAUGAUAUUAUUAUAUUACUAGAGGUGCAUGGCCCAUGUCAGCACGGGCCCAACACUAUAAAUAUUUUUUAGCACUAAAAUUUGAUAUUGAUGAGAUACAAAUAUAAAUAUACAUUUUUUUUAAUUAAAUAUUAUUGAUUCUGAUAUAUAAAUGACUUAUAAUAAUUAAUUAGAGGUAAUAUAGUAAAAAAUAUUAUUAAUUCUAAUGCGUAAAUAACUUAUAAUAAUUAAUUAGGGGUAAUAUAGUAAAUCACUGAGCAAUUAGGGGUAAUAUAGGCAGACAUGUCAUCUAUUUUUUUAAUUAAAUANNNNNNNNNNNNNNNNNNNNNNNNNNNNNNNNNNNNNNNNNNNNNNNNNNNNNNNNNNNNNNNNNNNNNNNNNNNNNNNNNNNNNNNNNNNNNNNNNNNNNNNNNNNNNNNNNNNNNNNNNNNNNNNNNNNNNNNNNNNNNNNNNNNNNNNNNNNNNNNNNNNNNNNNNNNNNNNNNNNNNNNNNNNNNNNNNNNNNNNNNNNNNNNNNNNNNNNNNNNNNNNNNNNNNNNNNNNNNNNNNNNNNNNNNNNNNNNNNNNNNNNNNNNNNNNNNNNNNNNNNNNNNNNNNNNNNNNNNNNNNNNNNNNNNNNNNNNNNNNNNNNNNNNNNNNNNNNNNNNNNNNNNNNNNNNNNNNNNNNNNNNNNNNNNNNNNNNNNNNNNNNNNNNNNNNNNNNNNNNNNNNNNNNNNNNNNNNNNNNNNNNNNNNNNNNNNNNNNNNNNNNNNNNNNNNNNNNNNNNNNNNNNNNNNNNNNNNNNNNNNNNNNNNNNNNNNNNNNNNNNNNNNNNNNNNNNNNNNNNNNNNNNNNNNNNNNNNNNNNNNNNNNNNNNNNNNNNNNNNNNNNNNNNNNNNNNNNNNNNNNNNNNNNNNNNNNNNNNNNNNNNNNNNNNNNNNNNNNNNNNNNNNNNNNNNNNNNNNNNNNNNNNNNNNNNNNNNNNNNNNNNNNNNNNNNNNNNNNNNNNNNNNNNNNNNNNNNNNNNNNNNNNNNNNNNNNNNNNNNNNNNNNNNNNNNNNNNNNNNNNNNNNNNNNNNNNNNNNNNNNNNNNNNNNNNNNNNNNNNNNNNNNNNNNNNNNNNNNNNNNNNNNNNNNNNNNNNNNNNNNNNNNNNNNNNNNNNNNNNNNNNNNNNNNNNNNNNNNNNNNNNNNNNNNNNNNNNNNNNNNNNNNNNNNNNNNNNNNNNNNNNNNNNNNNNNNNNNNNNNNNNNNNNNNNNNNNNNNNNNNNNNNNNNNNNNNNNNNNNNNNNNNNNNNNNNNNNNNNNNNNNNNNNNNNNNNNNNNNNNNNNNNNNNNNNNNNNNNNNNNNNNNNNNNNNNNNNNNNNNNNNNNNNNNNNNNNNNNNNNNNNNNNNNNNNNNNNNNNNNNNNNNNNNNNNNNNNNNNNNNNNNNNNNNNNNNNNNNNNNNNNNNNNNNNNNNNNNNNNNNAUAAAUGACUUAUAAUAAUUAAUUAGGGAUGAUAUAGUAAAAUCAUGGUUAAAGCAGCUGAAACAAACAUUAUAAAUAUCUAUUUUUUUAAUUAAAUAUUAUUAAUUUUCUAUAAAUGACUUAUAAUAAUUAAUUAGGGAUAACAUAAUAAAAAUAUUAUUAAUUUUAAUAUAUAAAUGACUUGUAAUAAUUACUUAGGAAUAAUAUAAUAAAUCACGAAAUAAAUAGGGUGUAAUAUAGUAAAUAAUGGGGAUACUAAAAUAAAUCCACGAAGAGGUGGUCGAAAUCACCUCUUCUAUAUAAUAGAAAAAAAAAGAAAUAUUUGAUGAAGAAUGAAAUAAUAUUAUUAUAAUUCAAUAGUAUGGAACAUAAAGAAUACAAUAAAAGAAAUAAAGGGCUUAGGCGGGUCCUUGGUUGCUAGCCAACAAUCACUUUUUUUUUUCAGGUUACAAUUUGCUUUCCAUUACAAUAGACAUAUUCACAGAUUACAAUUUGCUUUCAAUUGUAUCGUGUUUUUUUUCUUCUUUUUUUCAAUAAAUAAUGACCAAAUUAAAGUUUGAUUUAACUCAAUUAUAAACAACAAUAAUAUAAUUAAACUAAUCAAUACUAAUCAAAAACUAAUAUUCAUGCAAAUAACUACUUUUACAUGAUUCUUUAUUCACUAACUCUUAUCAAUAAAAAUAAAACAAAAUUAAAUAUCAUUCAUUCUUCCAUGUUUACGAAACCAUCACCAAUCAAGUGAUCAAUCUUUUCUUCGGGAUGCUCAAAAAAAUUUGUUACAUCCAAACUUGUGAUGUCAACAGCAUUUUCAGAGAGAAAGUUAGCCUCGGGAUUUCUCUCUUUCAUCUUUAGUGAUGCUUGAGAAAGAUCAACCAAGUGCUUGAGAGCACGGCAGUCACAUGAAUAAUGUCCUUUUCCACCACAUCGGAAACAAGUAAUUGCUUCACGUAUCUCAUCUUUUUUCUUUUUGUUCGAUGAAUGAUUAACACCCGGAACAGGGUUUCUUUCUUAGUCAUCACGACCACAACCACGACUACGUCCACGACCAGGACAACGGUCUUUUCUACGCCUAGCAUGGUGAACAUGUACAUCAUUCACCUCAGGAAGUGGUGCAGAUCCAGUAGGUCGAUUCUCGUGAUUUUUCAUCAACAAAUCAUUAUUUUGUUCAGUCACGAGAAGAUGAGAACUCAUUUCAGUAUACUUCUUCAAACCUUUUUCUCGAUAUUGUCGUUGUAAUAGCACAUUCGAGGCAUGAAAAGUGGAGAGCGUCUUUUCCAUCAUAUCAUUAUCAUUGAUUGUCUCUCCACAUAGUUUCAAUUGAGAAGAAAUUCUGACAUGGCAAAAUUGUACUCAUGAACAGACUUAUAGUCUUGAAAUCUCAGAUGUAUCCAUUCAUAUCGUGCUUUUGGGAGGAUGAUCAUCUUUAAGUGGUCAAAUCUUUCUUUUAGGCUAUUCUACAAUAUGAGUGGAUCCUUAAUAGUAAGGUAUUCAAUUUUCAGAAUUUCGUCAAGAUGAUAAUGCAAAAAAAUCAUAGCCUUAACACAAUUUUGACUAGAUGUUGUAUUUUCAUUCUUUAUGGUGUCUCCAAGACCCAUAGCAUCUAGGUGAAUUUCAGCAUCCAACGCCCAUGAAAUAUAGUUCUUGCCUGAACUUUAAAGGGCAACGAACUCACACUUCGUAAGAUUGUUAGCCAUAUGGAAAAAGGGAAGAAAAUAAAAAAUAAUACCUUAGCCUUAGCCUUCAAAUUUGAGACGGUAGAGUCUCGUGCUGAUAAUGUGUUAUAAAACAAUAAAGAACUAAGAAGAAGAGUAGAGAGAAUAAUUGUUAUUUCUCUCUUAGGGAUGAUUUACAAUGAAGGAAACCCUUCUAUUUAUAGGGAAAAUUUGCUCCUAAUUUCACACUAAAAGACAGAUAUAUCAAAUUCUGAUAGACAUCAAAUAGAUCUUGAUAGACAUUCACUAUAAUUGAUAUAUAUCAUAACAGUGACAACCUUAAUUAGUUCUUAAUUUUAAUUUAAGAGAAUAUAAUAUAUUAGCCAUAUCUUGACCCUUUUUAUAUGUGUCCAACCCGAUUUUCCUUAUGGAUUAUAUAAUGGAAGAAUAUCAAUUUCUCAAUAGAUUAGGUUAUCUUGUGAAGACCAUUUUUAUAAAAAAAUUUGAUUGAUAUUUUUAUGAAAUAAAAUUAUAUUUAUAUAUUCUUAAAAUCUUCUAAAGUUGAGACAUGUGUUGGUAAAUUAUUUUUUUCCUCUAAUAUUAUGGCAUGUAGUUGAUAAAAUUAUUUUUCUCCCUAUAAAAAUGUGACAUUUAAUUGAGAAAAUUAUUUUUUUCAUACAUAUCUUUCUUGCCACUUGAGCUUUCACAUUCGGUAUAUCAUAAUAAUAUGAUAAACUAUUCUAUUUAUUGAGUUUGUCUUUAUAUUUUUAAUUGUUUGACUAAUCGAUUAAUACUCUUAAAAGUUUUUUUUAUAAUAUUUAGUUUCUGAUAAAUUACAUAUUAUUUAAUUAAUUCAAUUGAUAAAUAUAAAAAUUGAAUAUCUUAUAAUUUUUUUUAUGUAUUAAAGUACUUAUAUUUUAUAACUUUUAUUAACACAACUAUUAAUAUAACAUUAUUUGUAAAAAAUUUGACAAUGCUUAUUUAAUAACACAAUUAAAAAUAUAUUAUUUUAAAACUAUCUUUUAGCAUGUUGAUUAAUCUUUAAAGAAUUACAAUAAUUUUUUUAAAAAAUAAUAUCAUAUAUUUAUUUCUAUUUUAUGUGUUUUGAAGAAUUUAUCUUAUUUAUCACUCUUUUUCACUACAUCUUUUUUGCAGAUAGAUGCAAUAUUAUGAAAUGUUUCAUAAAAAUAGCAACCAAUUUUUUUUUUUUAUGAAAAUAGUAUUCAUUAGUUAGUCUAAUCUAUUAAAAAAUUGAUAUUCUUUCAUUAAAUAAUUCAAAAGGAAAAUUGAAUUGUGCAAAUAUAAAAAGGGGUCAAGAUAUGAGUAAUAUAUUAUAUAUUUACUUAUAUUAAAAUUAAGAAUUAAUUAAGGCUGUUACAUUAUUUUUACGAUGAAAUUAUUGUAAAAUUCGUGAUGAUAUGAUGGUCGAAGAAAAGUUAAAUGACUUUUGUAUAAUGAACGAAAGAAAAAUAAUUUUUGCCAGACACAAAAUUAGUAUUUCAACUGCAAAAAUUGUGCCCGUACACCGGAUGAAAUAUUAAAAAUUAAAAUGAGUUCAAGAAUCAUGUGCAACAGGAAAUGUUGACUUUUAAAUUCUGAAUGAAUUGGUCCAAAAUUGUCGAAGAAACUACAAAUUGCAGCCAACCAUGGAGUGCUAAUUGAAUGAAGAACUAUUUAGGGCAUGUGUGGAUAGGCUGGAAAAAAAAAAAGGCUUUUAAAAGGUAUUUUUGAAAGUACUGAAUUUGUUUUAAAAAUAAGAAGUUAUGUAUUUGUAUAAAAAUGCUGAAACUGAAAAAAGAUUAUUGAUGUAUAUGGUAAAUAAAUGUUUUUAAAUAUUUUUUUUGUCAAAAUGUCUGAAAUACUCUUAAAGCUAUUAAGGAUAUGUAGAGUUGAUUAUUGUUAACUUUUAUUUCUAAAAUGAUUCAGAUUAAUCACUUGUAAACGUUCCCUUAGUUUCAUCAUGUAUUUGGUCAUAGUAUUUAGGAAACAUAUUUCACUUGUAAACGUUUCCAAAAAAUGAAAUUUGAUUCAAAUACUAUUUUUUUCUAGUAUUUGAGAAUUUGAAUUAUUUGUCAAAAAUAGUUACCAAAUAAUGACAAAUUAUAAGGCCAAACAUUAUUUGUCAAUUUUUUUCUAAAAAAUUACUUAAAAAUUUUAUGAUCAAUCGGGUUCUAAACAUCAAUUAAUAGAGAUAGUAAGGUAAAAUAAUCAUAUAAUAAUUAUUUUUUAAUAAGUGUAUCAUGUCAAAAAGUGAUAGGUUAAAGCCAAAUGGAAGAAAUAUUAUUUUGUCAUGAUAUUUUCUAAUGCUAAGAAAAUCUGAUAACAAGUAUUCACACAAGUUCCUCUUUUAAAAAAAAAAUAAAAAUUGAGGGAUAAAAAUAUCUUCUUUUUUAAAAAGUAAAAAAAUAAAAAAUUUAAAAAAUUGAGGGAUAAAAUUAUCUAUUAUUUUCCAUUUUUUUUUUAACUUGGAGUUGGUGAAGUGCUGUUCUCAAUCCGUUUUGUAAGUGGAAGAGGUAGUGCAUGUUACACAUCGUACUCGAGAGGGGUGAAUGAAACGGAACCUCGUUUCUAUUGUUUUGUAUGUGUGAUAAGUUAAAAGCCUAAAAGUCAUGUUUUGUAAAGUGAUGGUUAAAUGAGACAUGUUAGUGGAGUGUUGGCCGAUCACGAAUUACAUGUUCAGAAAAUAAAAGUAGCGAAACAAAGAUGUUGAGAUGGAUGUGUGCAAAUACUAGGAGAGAGAAGAUCAAAAACGAAGUUAUGCGACAUAAGGUGGGAGUAGCUUUCGUGGUGGACAAAAUGGGGAGGCGAGGUUUGAGUGUUUGGACACAUAAAGAGAAGAUGCACAUAUUCCUAGUGAAGAGGCGUGAGAAGUUGGUUGUAGUGGGCUAGUGUAAAGAAGGGUAGAGAUAAGCUGAAGAAGUUUUGAAGCGAGAUGAGUAGACAGGACAUGACACUUCCAGAUUACUGAGGACAUAUCCUUAGGUAGGAAGAUGUGGAGAUCGAAGAUUAUGGUAGAAGGUUAGUAGGUAGUUGAGUAUUUUCGAGUUCCCUUAUCAGUAUGGCAUUAUUACUCUUCUAACUAGUAGUAUUAUAUUUUUCAAUUACCUGUUGUUUUUAUUGCUUCAGUUAUCAUAAUAUGUUUUCCCCUAGUGCUUUAUUUCAUUGUUUUAUGUUUAUCCUAUAAAUUUCUUACAACAAAUAUGAAAUUUGAACAAAAAUUAAUGAAUUCAACCAAACAUGUAAUCUUUACUCUAGCUCCACCCCCGCUAGGAAGGAGAUAAAGGUUUGCCACGCAUUAGAAAUUACAAACAUGACUUACAGGGGAUUACCAAAACAACUACCGAAAAGAGUUGAAGGAACCUCAAAAACCAUGUUAGUUGCUUUGGUUCUUGUCUGACUUAUUUACUUCACCAUUUUGCUGCGGGGUGACAGAUGUAGUCAUCAAAUCAAAACCCAACUUUUGCUUUGUGAUAUCAUCAAGAACCUCAAUCAUUUCCUUUGAAAGAUGGUUCUUGAAAUCCCCCACUUUGCCUUGCCGAAAAUAUAUGUUGUUUGCACUAGUAGGACCAAACGGUCCAGAGUAUGUGCCCUCUUUAUUCACCUCCAAAUUACUCAGUUUCUCAAAGCUGCAGAGCUCUAUUAGUCUCUCUACAAUGCCUUCACUUUCUUCCUCCAACGAAAAUGGCUGCCCCAAGAACUCUGCUAUUCUCUUUGCAUUAAAGAUUGGAUCUUUCUUCAAAUCCUCAUACUUCAAGAAAAGAACCCUCUCUGGAAAUUCUAAGCUGGCUUUAUAAUAUCCCAUCACAUGAUCCCAAAAUGGACCAAAAGGGAAUAACCUUUAGUAAAUUGGUCAAAUGCUUCUGAUAGAGAACUGAUAGGCGUGUCUUUGGGUCUUAAUUUCUGCAUAAAGUACCAGAAAGAAACCAACACAUCUUUUGCAUCGCGAAACACAGACUAUUUUGCAUUUGGAGUCAUCACCUGUUAUAGACUCUGGCAAAGCAUUGAAGACAAGAUGUGAUUGUAUGAGACAAGUGUUUGGUGUUGGAUUUGUUGGGUGCAUAAAUGCAUAGGCCUCUAGAUGGGGUACUAACUCAUGUGGGUUUGAAGAGAGCAGAGGGUGUGUGCUAUAAUAGUCGUAUUGUGAUCUGUUUGUAAUGGCAAAAAGAAGGGCCUUGAGCCAUGUGGUGCCAGACUUUGGGUAACUGGCUAGUAAGACACUAUUUGGUUUUGGUUCAAAUUGAUGCUGCUCAAGUACUAGCAAACCUUGUAGAACAUUUGUCGAAUACCAAGUACCUUUGUAUUGGUAAAUCUGAUCAUUUAGCCAGCCUCUUUCACUAGGAAGAUCAACGGAUUCUUGGUGAUUUUCAUGGUUUUGUUCUUUGGUGGCAACAUUUGUGUGUGAGGAGGAGUUUUGGGUAGAGAAGAAGUUUGCCAUUUGAGUUAAUGAGCAAAAGAAUAGAAACUCUUGCUACAUUUAUAAGACCACUUAAGUUUGUAUCUAUUAUGUAAAAGUCAUUUUUCUUUUAUUCAUUAUAAUAAAGUUAUUUUACUUUGCUCCUGUCACAACCCGAACCGAGGCCCUGGCCGUGACGGGCAAUCCCGAGCCGUGAUGGCCCGAGCGCCCCUUUUUCAACAGGCAAUCAUAAACAUGUCCAUACAAUAUUAAGGGAAAAUGAGAAAAAAAAAUGGAUUUGUACGGAAACAUGGCCAAUAAUAUCACACUACCGAAAAAUCAAAAGAGUUCAACAACUCAUCAGCAUCAUCUAACAUCUGUCUGCAAAAUCUCUAGUACAUCAAAUCCAGAUAUCACAAUCGAAAACUGGGACAAGGCCCCCAGUAGACCCAAAUCUAAAUAAAUAACAAAUGUCUGAAAAGGUCUGGCCCCACCAACUGCACACUGCUAACUGAUGGUUCUACUGCUUAACAAUACCUUUUGACUGAGCCUCAGACCCUGAGAAGGUAGGGGGUCAAUACAAUUGUACUGGUAUGCAAAGUAAUCCAAAAAUAAAAUACAACUUUUAUGUAACAUAUGUGAGAGCCAUCUUAAAACACUUAAAUGAAAAAUCGUUUGAAAACACAUGGGCAUAGUAUGAUGAUUUAUCAAUAAUAAUGCAGCACUACUGAGCUAGGUGGGACACCCUACAAUUUCAUAUUUUCACCAACUGCCAAACCUCGGUUGUCACUAAGAUUGAAAUAUUAGUGAGGGGAGGACGCACAAGAUCACACAGCAGGGUGCCAUAACCCAAAUCAAUUCAAUAUGUUGUGGUUGGGCUCAAGAUCACAAAGUAGGGCUCCUAACCAUUGGUCCCAAUUUGGGAUGACAUAGUACUAGGUACACAAGAUCAAAUAGCAGGGUACCAAGUUCCCGUGUCGGCAAAUCACGGUUUCCAGAAUAGAGUUAUUUGACUCGUGAUUUCUUCGGGUAACCACCUAACUCACAUCAAUUUAAGCUGUACGCUUGAUUUAAGACAGAACAUGCAUCAUACUCACAACGUUCUUUCCUUCUUUUCAUUCGAGGCAACUCCUCUGCGGGGUAUCAUCAUAUCCCGACUUGCAAGUCAUCAGUACCACAUCAAUUCUCAAAACCUCUUAUGCAAAUCAUAAUAUGAACACACAUAAAACUUCCACACAUCAAACACAUGCAUAAAGAUUCCUAUCACGUAAUAGUCAAGAAACUUCAUCAUUUGUAAAGUAGUACAGUGGGGCUUAUAAAACUCAUGCUCUCAAUAGUUUAAUACGAGUAUCAUGUGGGGUACAAAAACAUUAUCAUGGGGAAAUUUAAGAAUUUACAUUUCAUAUUCAUCACAUCCUUUGAAAUUCAAAUCACAUGUCCACAAAUUCAACAAUUUAGGUAUAUAAGCAAACACCCCAUGAUCUUUCAAUAUCCCUUUCAAAAUCAUAUCACGAAGAAUGUUGUUGGUAUUAAAACGAAACCCCACUUAUAAUAUCAUACAUACUUAUGUGAAUAUUAAAAAUCUUGUUUAAAUUCGUAUCAAAAUCAUGCCCAUGAGAUUUAGGACAACCACACAUACUUUAAAUUAGGAACCUUGAAUGAACAGUUAUUUUUCGGGACUCUAUUCGCAACUUUGAACGGAUGUUCUUGAUGCUCUUAGUUUGGGGAUUCCGAUUCUAGAAUCAAUUUAAAAAACUAAUGGUGAAAUCUUGAGUAGUAUUGAUCUUUGGGUUAAAACCCUAGGAGUUCUUGGUGAAUUUUGAGGAAAAUAUCAAUAAUGUGGUGUUUUGGGAGUAUAAUCCCGUGUUUAAGAUGAACAAGGGGUUGAAAAUACCCAAUAUACCCUUAAUGAUUUGGGUUGAAAAGCUGAAAUUAGCCCAGCGCGAUUGGCAAGGCCCCGCGGGGGAUAACCCGCUGGAUUAGGCAGGGCACCACCUUACCUAUCGCCUUGCCCUUCCCAGGUGAGGCAAUCCGCAGGGCACCGCGGGCUAAUCUAAUACAAGUCAAAUGGCCUCCUUAGCUUUCGGUGAUAUCCUUCAAAGUCUCUAUGUGAAGAAUCAAGCUUUGGUCGUAUGGAGGGCACGGGAUCAUGCUUGGAGGGGUCGUUAUGAGCAUGCCAUUGGACAAACCCGAGAGUGGAAGAUUGCUUGGACCCUUGAAGACUUGAGGACUCUGGGGUUGGACCACACUUUGUUGGUUCACGAUUUUGGAUCCCUUCAUUAAGGGCAUUAUGUUCACUUAGCCUUAAAGGCAUUUUGGUCAAUUCAUAGUGUUUUUCAACACACCAAGGCCACCCCUUGGUCAUUAAGGGUGGCUUAGUCAUUUUGCCAUGUAAUAGGCUAGGCUAUAUAUAGUCUCUUUUAGGUCUUUUCUUACUAGUUUUUGAAUGAUGAAUAUGUAAAAGACUUCUUCUCUCUUUGAGAGUGUAACAUCCUUAGUGUAGGGCUUGGAUAAGCAAUUAGUGUAGGGCUUGGAAAAGCCUUUAUUGAUCUUUGCUUAGAAACAAUGGUUGUAAGGUGGAGUUGAUUCCCUUAGCGGUCACCGUAAGAACUUGGUACUUAUUAACUUGUUUUGUAGAGGUUUUAGAGUUUUGAUACACUCUUUAGUUGCUACCUAAUGGGUUCUCUUUGUGUCAAGUUAGCUAUUUUUUACUCUUUUUAAGUUUAUGUUUGCUUCUCGUAUCGUGUUGUUGUUUUGUUGUUGCAGGUAAAGGCUUGUGAUUGUGGGUUGUUUGCGGACUAUUUUAGUGUUGUAGAUACCGUUUGAUAUCAUAAUCGCCUCGGCUCACUGUUUCGCAACCCCAAACGUGCCCUUAAGCUCGUCUAAAAAUUUCAAAACUCCCCCGAGAUGUACUUUCGACUCGCCCCAUCUCAUAUCAACAAAAAAAUUAGCAAACGAAGGUCGAAAAGGUCAUAAAAUAAAUUCUCAAAGAUUUGGAGCUCAAAAUGAGACUAAGGCUCCAUUUGUUUUUUUAAAGAUUCAGACGUCUGAAUCUGAAUGCACAUCUAAAUGAUUAAGAUGUUGUCUCUAGAUCUGAAAACUGAAUGAUUAAGACUGUUUGUUUUUCAACAUCUGAAUAUGUAAAAAAAUUUAUUUGUAUACAUAAAAAAAUAAAAAAUAAAAUUCAAAUAAAAAAUUAAUUAUCUAUUAAAAAAGUAUGUAAUUUAAUACAAUAAAAUUAUUAGUAUUUGAUUGAGAAAAAACAUUUAUGUUUAUUAGUGAUAGUGGAGAUGACUAAUAAUUGUGGUUGCGGUGACAAUGAUUAAUAUUGUUGGUGAUAAUUGUGAUGGUUGGUAUUGUAGUGACUGUUAUGAUGGUGGCGAUUGAUGGUGGUGGUGGUUAUUGUGAUGUGACGUUGCUUGAUAUUAGUAAUUUAAGGUGUUGAUUGUGUUGACUGAAACAUGAAUGCAUGAUGAUUGACGAUGUGUUGGUGCUAGUUGGAGAUUUUAUUUGUUGUGAUGUGAAGAUGGUUGUUAGUAGAGAUAAAUUGUAGCGAUGAUACUAAUUGAGUAGUGGUAGAGGUGGAAUUACUAGUGACAAUGCUGGUGGCGGUCAAAGAAUGUGUAGAGGUUGUGAUGUAUUAGUGGUGGUGCUAGUUGUGAUAAAUGAGUUGGUUGGUAUAGGGAUUGACCGCUAGUGGUUGCUGAUUGUGUUGUUGUUGAAGGCAGUGGUGGUGGUGAAUAUAAUUAGAAUAAAAGAGGUAGUAAGUGUGGUAGCGGUUGACAAUUGUGGUUGGUAGAGGUAUUUUUUAUCGAUGGUGGUUGGGAUGGUAUUUUUUACAAUAAUCCCACCGAAAAACUGAUGUGACAACUUUAAUUAGUUCUUAAUUUUAAUUUUGAAGAAUAUAAUAUAUUACUCAUAUCUUGAUUCUUUUUAUGUGUGCCCAACCUAAUUUUUCUUUUGAAUUAUAUAACGGAAGAAUACCAAUUUCUUAAUAGAUCAGGCUAUUUAAUGAAGUUUAUUUUCAUAAAAAAAAUUGAUUGAUAUUUUUAUGAAACAUUUCAUAAUAUUGCAUUCAUAUGCCAGAGAGGUACAUCGAAAAAGAGUAAUAAACAAGAUAAAUUCUUCAAAACACAUAAAAUAGAAAUACAUAUAUAAUAAUAUUUUUGUAAGUUAUUUUAAUUCCUUAAAGAUAAAAUCAUUAUGCUAAAGAUAGUUUUAAAAUAAAACCUUUUUGAUUUUGUCAUCGAAUAAGUAUUGUAAAAAUUUAUACAAAUAAUAUUAUUGACAAUUGUGUUAAUAAAAGUCAUAAAAUAUAAGUAAUGUAAUGUAUAAAAUAUUUAUCAAUUGAAUUAAUUAAAUAAUAUAAAAUUUAUCAGAACUGAAUAUUAUAAUGAAAACUUUUUAAAAAAUUAACCGAUUAGUCAAACAAUUAAAAACACAAUGACAAACUCAAUAAAUAGAGUAGUUUAUUAUAUUAUUAUGAUAUACAGAAUGCUAAGGCCCAAGUAACAAGAAAUGUAUGAAAAAAAUAAUUUUAUCAACUACAUAUCACAAUUUUAGAGAGAGAAAAGUAAUUUUAUCAACAAUAUGUCACAAUUUUAGUGGGAGAAAGGUAAUUUUAUUAACUAUAUGUCACAAUUUUAGAUGAGAAAAGUAAUUUACCAACUACAUGUCACAAUUUUAGAGGAUUUUAAAAAAACUAAAAUUACCAUAAUCAUAUCAAUUACAUGUCAUAAUUUUAGAGGAGAAAAAUAAAAUUACCAUAAUCAUAUCAAUUACAUUUCAUAAUUUUAGAGGAGAAAAAUAAUUUACCAACACAUAAAUUUUAGAGGAUUUGAAGAAAAUCAAAACUAUCAUAGUGUCAUUGUGAGGACUAUCAAAUUUUGAUAGCCUCCCUUAUAUAUAAGUAUAAUUUUAGUUUCAUAAAAAUGUCAACCAAUUUUUUUUUAAUUAAAACGGACUUCACUAGGUAGCCUAAUCUAUCAAGAAAUUGGUAUUCUUUCAUUAUAUAAUCCAUAAGAAAAAUCGGGUUGGGCACAUAUAAAAAGAAUCAAGAUAUGAGUAAUAUAUUAUAUUCGCUGAAAUUAAAAUUAAGAACUAAUUAAGGUUGCCAUAUCAUUUUUUCGGUGGGAUUAUUGUAAAAUCCGGCCAUAGUGACUUUUAUGAUGGCCGGAGCAAAGUAAAAUGACUUUUAUGUAAUGACCGAAAGAAAAAUGACUUUUGUGCAAUAGGCUCAAAGUUAAGUGACCAUGGAUGAAAUUUACUCUAAGACUAAGAGGUUCGUUUGGUAGUUAGUCAGGAGUUAAGUUGUUUAUUAUUGAGCAGUUAGUUGCCCUCACACAUGCCGUAGUUGUCCAGCCGAAACUUAGCUGUUCAUUGUUAAUUACUUGCUUAUUUGUUGUUAAUUUCGGUAGUUAGCAGUGUUGAGAUAUAGUAUUAACCAUGGAGUUUGUGUUAUAGUAUUGUAUUUUCAUCCCAUGUAAAGACUAUUUAUUUUAUUAAUAAAAUCUUUAUUUGAAUAAAUCAUUGUGUUAACAUGUGUGUCCUUCACUUAUAUAGUAAACAAUUUUGUGUAUGGAGUAUUUUAACUCAUGCAUGGAAGAUUAAAAUUGUCGGUUCUUAUAAGUAAUAAAUUAAUAUUCACAAUCAAAGAUGAGGUAGGACAAACAUCUUGAUGAUUGUAGCACAGUAUUAAAUAUAAUUUGAUCUUAAUUAUGGGAGUAAUAAUAUUCCAACUUCUUGUGCAAGUACAUCUCGUAUGUAUUGAACGGACCAAUUAGAGAUAUUCCUUUAUGUUCUGAAUAUUAAUAAACGAUUUCUCUAGACCAUUACAUGUACUUAUAUUCUUAAUCUUGAUAUAAUUAUUAUGAUCUAUGUGGUUUGUUUUAUCGUUUUAAUCUAUUAAAAGGUGAGACUCUUUUAUGAGUCAACAUAUUCCUGAUAGGUUGGAUGAUGACAAAUCACUUAGUGAAAUAUCAAUUAGUUGAUAGAACCAUGUCUCGAACUUGAGAUAGAAGACACCCCUUUAUGGUUGCUUAUAAGUUUUCACAUAAAAACCCUGCAGGUGGAUUUUGUAUCUGUCAUGUGAAAUAAGUUAAGCAUUAUAAAUAAAGGAUUAAAUUAAUCAAUGAGUUAAAUUUUUCAGAGAAUUUAAUUUAAUUGAUUGGUGUCGGUAAUUCUAACAUGGGGAGUUAAGUAAGAUGUAAUAGUAGAUUUUAAAAUUAAACCGAGGAGUAUAAUUACAAAAUUUUAGUGGAAUAAUUUGUAAUUUAUUGUGAUAUGGUAAUUCGUUUAUUUGCGAAUUAAUAUCAUAAUUGGAAGCCCCACUUAAUAAAUCUGUGGUCCCUACUAUACUUGAUUAACUAAUCAAUUUUGGAAAAGAGAAAGAACUUACUAGAAAAAAGUAAUAUUACUUACUGGUCUUCUACAAGAAAAAGAAAUCUUCUAUUUUUAAAAAUAAAAAAAAAAUCUUUUGAAAAAUUAAAGAGGCAGAAAACAUUUUGACAAUUGAAAAGCCAUAUACUGUUGCCUCUUGGAUCCCUCGUUAUGUAAAAUAUGAAUAAAUAAUUAAAAAGCCAUAAACUUUGCCUCUUAACUCCCUCUUUAUGUAAAGCAAGAAUAAACAAUUGAAAUGUAAGAAGUUUUUGUUGUCUUAUUUUUUUUGUUGGCUUUCCCCUAAUAUGAAUAUAUAGGGGUUUUGGCUAAGAAGAAAUAUACUAUUUUCCUGGACAUAUUCUCUUUGAAUUCAAAAGUAUUUGCCCACACAAGUUUGAUAACAAAAGUCAGUAGGAUAUAGUAGAAGACUGUAGCCCUGAAGGUAAAAACAAUGAAUAAAUUGUGUGAAAGCUUUAGCAGGUAAGUAGCUUUUUAAUUUCGUUUGAUAAUUUAUGUUGUCUAAAUUAUAUGUAAGUUAUUGAUCCUGUAGAAUUGUUGCUUCCGUUGUGCAUGAUCUAACAAUUGGUAUCAAAGCUCUUCUUAUAUAUGCUAGAUAAUGUAAAAGAAAUUACAUGAUUUGUUGUACAUAUUUCGGAUAAUAAUUGUAUAAAUCAUGUUGUUGGCUGCUUUUCAUGUUUUUGAUAUCAUGUUCUUGCUGGCUAUUGUUCAUAUUUUUUUGAUGAUAUUAUUGAUUCAAAAAAAAUUGAAGUUUCUCAUCAAGAAAGCAUAAAACGAAUUUUGCAUAGUUUAGAGGAAAUUAGUUUUAUAGCUUAAAAGCAAAACGAUGAUGAGUCUCGACCACGACCAACUAUAGUCGUUACUCACUGAAUGGACAGUAGCAGUAACGCCAAGAAGUGCAGGCAUCCUUGUUGUCCCUCGCAACAGCUCGGCCAAUAAUUACCGAUUUGGUCGAUUUUGGAGUUUUUUCAGUUUUUGACGAACUCCGAAUGACUUAAAAUUUGUUACGUUUAUUGAAAAUGAUCCACUGAAUAAUACUCACAGUAUACUGUGUUUCAUGCCGUUUUUGACCAUUCGGGGUUGUUUUGAUGAGGUUUUUUGGUGUUUUUAUAUUUUUGAAAAAAUUAUCUUUUGCAAACCAGUGGUGAUAGGGAUCAUUCUUUAUGAUUUCCAUUGGUUAAUAACAGUAAAUAUUAUGAGUUUACAUGUUGACAUUGGUCAUCUUCCCCAUCAGAUAAACUUGUAUAUUGUAAUACUGUUUUAUAGUUGAGUUUUUGAUAACUUGUAUUAACUUUCCAACUAAGUUGCAUGUUAGCUCAAUGGUACAGAGACUUAUGAAAUGUGAUAUUUAUCUAACUUAAAUCAACAGUUUACUCUCCAAUUGAGUUGGUUCUGUCUUGUUUAAGAGAUGAAAUAUCUGACAUUACAUGUAUAUUUGCUUAAAUGGUUAAGUUUCCCUAACGACUCUAACUAUUUAUGUGGUGGUUAUAUGUGUGAUGUGAUUUUAAGAAUUUUAUUAUUCUGCAACAUGUUUAAUGAUCUUUGUUUAAUUCUAUUAUAUAACAGAUUAACCAUGUUGUCAUUCAAUCCAUUAACCUCUAUCCUGAAUCAAAAUAAACUAGAAGGCCCUAACUGUGUGGACUACUACUGAGAGCUUUAAAUUUGUGCUGUUGAUGAAUGUCCUGUUAAGUCAUAUAAACUAACUGAUAAUGAGAUUAAAGGCUACGAUAAGUGGGUCAAGUCUGAUGAGAUGACAAGAUGCUACAUACUUGCCUCUAUGGCAAAUGUGUUGCAGCAUCAACAUCAGUCCAUGACUGUUGCUUAUGAUAUGCUUGAAUCUCUCAAAGAGAUGUUUGGUGAGCAAAAUUGUGCUGCAAAGCAGACGGCCAUGAAGGCUCUUUUGACCACAAAAAUAGUUGAAGGAAUUUUAGUAAGGAAACAUUCUUAAAAUGAUGAGUUUGUUGAACAAGUUGGAAAUUCUUGGUGCGGUUAUUGAUAAGGAAUCUCAGGUUGAGAUGGUCCUGCGGACUCUGCCAGACAGUUUUCAAUAGUUUUGCUUGAAUUAUAAUAUGAAUAAGAUGGAUUUAUCUCUUGCGAAACUGUUGAAUGAGAUGCAAGCGGCAGAAUCUAUCAUUAAGCAACAAGCUCCUCCUGCGGCGUUCAUGGUUGACAAGCCUUCAGCUUUGACUUCUAAGACGAAAGACGAAAAGGAAAAGAAAAAGAAAAAGAAACCUCGUAAGGUUUCAGGUGCUAAUGGUGGUGUGGCUAAGCCUAAGGGCAAAUGCUAUCAUUGCAAGCAACUGGUCAUUAUAUGAAAUUGUGUCUCGGCUACAUAGCAAAGAUGCAAAAAUAAGGUACAUCUUUUUCAUAUGUCUUUGAAAUGUUUUUAGCGGCUGUUUCUACCCAAUUUUGGGCUAUAGGAAAUAUUUCUAUUUCGUUUAGUAGUUCUAGAUUUUUAAGACUGAAUAAUGUUCUGUAUGUACCUUUUAUAAGAAAGAAUUUGCUUUCAAUUUCAAGAAUAAUGGAUGCUGGUUACAAUGUUUAUUUUGCUAAUAAUUGUGCCAUUAUUAAGUUUAAGAAGCAUUUUAUUUUAUCUGCUCCUAGAAUGCAUAAUUUGUUUGUAUUUUAUGUUUAUGAUAUGCUACAAAAAAUAGAACUAAAUAAUGUUGAUCAAUCACAUAAAAGAAAACGUAUUUCGAAAUUGAGUGAAACAUACUUAUGGCACUUACGUCUAAGUCAUAUUAAUAUAAAUAGGAUCUCAUGUUUGGUUUCUGAUGGACCUUUGAGUUCAUUGAAAGUGGAGGCACUUCCAACUUGUGAAUCUUGUUUAGAAGGUAAACUGACCAAGAGACCAUUUCUUUACAAAGGAAAUAGAGUCGGUAAUAAGUUAGAAUUAAUUCAUACUGAUUUGUGUGGUCCAAUGAAUAUACAAGCAAGAGGCGGUUUUGAGUAUUUUGUGACUUUCACAGAUUAUUACUCGAAAUAUGGAUACAUUUAUUUGUUGCGCCAUAAAUCUGAAUGCUUUAAAAAAUUCAAAGAAUCUAAGAUGGAAAUGGAAAAGAGACAUAACAAACAUAUCCAUAUAUUAAGAUCUGAUCGUGGUGGUGAAUACCUUUCUGCGGAAUUCAUUAAAUACUUCUCAGAAUCCAAAAUUAUAUCUCAAUAUUCUGCUCCGGGAACACCACAAUAAAAUAGUGUGGCAGAAUGCCGAAAUAGAAAUUUUAUGAAAAUGGUUAGAUAAAUGUUAAGUUAUUCAGAUUUGCCCAUUUCUUUUUGGGGUUAUGCAUUAGAAACUGCAAAUUAUAUUCUGAACUUGGUUUCUUCAAAAUCAGUACCUUUAACCCCAUCUGAAUUGUAGAGUGGGCGCAAGCCUAGUCUACGCCAUAUUCGGGUUUGGGGUUGUCCAGCAUAUGUGCUAAAAGGAAAAACUGAUUAGUUAGAAUCUAGGACAGAAGUGUGCGUUUUAUUGGAUAUCCAAAAGGAACAAAAGGCGGUUUAUUUUAUUGUCCUAAGGAAUAGAAGGUAAUUGUUUCGACAAAUGCCAGAUUUCUUGAAUAGGAUUAUUUAAUGAACCACAUUUAUAGAAGUAAAAUUAUUUUACGAGAAUUGAGCAAUAGAAUAACAAAUAAUAAAACAAAAGAAGGAAUUCCAAAAUCCAUUAUUGACAUACUACUGCAUCCACGUAGUGGGAGAAAUGUCAAUAGGCAAGAGGUUGUACAAGAGCAAACACUUGACAUUACACUACCUCAAAGUAGUGGAAGUAACGUCGAGCAGCCUGCAAUUAUGGAGGAAAACGUUCAGGGUAAUGUCGAGGAACCUUUCAUAAUGCAGGAAGACAUUCAAGGUGUUCAAAAUUUAGUUCCCGUAGUAGCAGAUUCUGUAGUGACUAGUUGUCGUAGUGGGAUAAUUAUUAGAAAACCUAUAUGGUUUGCGCUUGGGAGAAUCGUAUGAUAGAAUCCCUGAGGAUCCUAAUACCGAACCUAUUAAUUACACCGAAGCACUACAUGAUAAAGAUGCUAAAAUGUGAAUUGCUGUUAUAAAAUCUAAAAUGAAGUCUAUAUAUUCCAAUCAAGUCUGGGAACUUGUAGAACCACCUAAGGAGUCAAACCCAUUGGUUGUAGAUGGAUCUAUAAGAAAAAGAGAGGUGUGGAUGGGAAAGUACAAACUUUUAAGGCUAGGCUUGUUGCGAAAGGGUUUACUCAAAAAGAAGGAAUUGAUUAUGAGGAAAAAUUUUUGCUGGUAACUAUGCUUAAAUCCAUUAGGAUUAUCUUAUCCAUUGCGGCUCAUUAUGAUUAUGAGAUUUGACAAAUGGAUGUCAAGACGACUUUCCUAAAUGGAAGUCUUGACGAGUGCAUUUAUAUGGCACAACCAGAAGGUUUCAUGAAAAAUGAUAAUGAACAUAAGUUUUGUAAACUUAAAAAAUUCAUUUAUGAUUUGAAACAAGUAUCUAGAGCAUAGAAUACUUAUUUUGAUAAUUCAAUUAAGACUUUUGGUUUUAAUCAAUGUGAAAAUGAAUCGUGCGUUUAUAAAAAAUGGGAUGGAGACAGGAACAUUUUUUAUUUUGUAUGUAGAUGACAUUUUUCUCAUAGGAAAUAAUGUGAGCAUGUUGAAUUCUAUUAAGGAGUGGUUGUCCACGCGUUUUGAUAUGAAGGACUUGGGAGCAGCGGCUCAUAUCCUUUGGAUCAAGCUUAUGCGAGAUCGCAGACAAAGGAUAUUAGACUUAUCUCAAGCACUUUAUAUUGAUACUAUUCUUGCAAGGUUUAGCAUGCAAAAUUCAAAAAGGGGAUUUCUUCCUUUUAGGCAUGGAAUUACUCUAUCAAAAGAUCAGUCGCCCAAAACGACCGAUGAGAUAGAGAGAAUGUGGUCCCUUAUGCUUCUUCUGUAGGGAGCCUUAUGUAUGCUAUGUUGUGCACUAGAUCAGAUAUCUACUUUGUUGUUGGCAUGGUUAGCAGAUUUCAGUCUAAUACUGGGCAAGUACAUUGGACUGUGGUUAAGUAUAUAAUCAGGUUCCUAAAAAGGACUAGGGACUACAUGCUUGUUUUUCACUCCGGGAAUCUUGUACCUAUUGGGUAUACUGAUUCAAAUUUUUAGUUGGAUAGAGAUUCUAGAAAAUCUACCUCAGGAUAUGUGUUUACUUUAGGAGGUGGAGCUAUUAUUUGGAGGAGUAUCAAGCAAUCAUGUGUUGCUGAUUCCACUAUGGAAGCUGAUAUGUAGCUGCCUCUGAGGUGGAAAAAGAGGUUGUUUGGCUCGGUAACUUUCUGAAAGAGCUUGGAGUUGUUCCUUCGGUUCAAACAUCACUACCACUUUAUUGUGACAAUAGUGGUGUAGUUGUAAACUCGAAAGAACCACGAAGCCAUAAAAGAAGUAAGCAUAUUGAAAGAAAAUAUCACUUGAUUCGGGAUAUAACUCAAAGGGGUGAUGUGAGAAUUUUGAAGAUUGAGUCGAAGAACAAUUUGGCAGACCCAUUUACAAAGGGCUUAACCCAGAAGGUUUUUGAUAAGCAUGUGAAAGAAAUGAAUGUUAAAAUUGUUCAUUCAUGGUUAUGAGUCUAAGUGGGAGAUUGUUGGGAUAUACUAUUAACCAUGUAGUUUGUGUUAUAUUAUUAUAUUUUUUCAUCCCAUGUAAAGACUAUUUAUUAUAUUAAUAAAAUCUUUAUUUGAAUAAAUCAUUGUGUUAACAUGUGUGUUCUUCACUUAUAUAGUAGACAAUUUUGUGCAUGGAGUAUUUUAACUCAUGCACGGAAGAUUAAAAUUCUCGGUUCUUAUAAGUAAUAAAUUAAUGUUCACAAUCAAAGAUGAGGUAGGACAAACAUCUUGAUGAUUGUACCACAAGAUUAAAUAUAAUUUGAUCUUAAUUAUGGGAGUAGUAAUAUUCCAACUUCUUGUGCAAGUACAUCUCGUAUGUAUUGAAUGGACCAAUUAGACGUAUUCUUUUAUGUUCUGAAUAUUAAUAAAUGAUUUCUCUAGACCAUUACAUGCACUUAUAUUCUUAAUCUUGAUAUAAUUAUUAUGAUCUAUAUGGUUUGUUUUAUCGUUUUAAUCUAUUAAAAGGUGAGACUCUUUUAUGAGUCAACAUAUUCCUAAUAGGUUGGAUGAUGACAAAUCACUUAGUGAAAUAUUAAUUAGUUGAUAGAACCAUGUCUCAAACUUGCGAUAGAAGACACCCCUUUAUUGUCACGACCCGAACCGGGGCCCUGGCCGUGACGAGUAUUCCAAACCAUGAGGCCCGAAAUACCCCUAUCUGUCUAGUAAUCAUGCACACAAUUCAUAUGAUAAAAGAAAUACGGAAGAUACACAAUAUAACGAAAACAUGAUCAAGAAUCAUGCGAAAGUAAUAAUGGAGAAUAAUGUCCCACAAUCUCUACACAACAUCUCUAUAACAUCUGCGAAAUCUCUACUACAUGACUAAAACAAAUGUCUAUCUGAAAACUGAGACAAGGCCCCCAGUAGACCCAAAACUAAUAAAUGAUAAAUUAAACUGCAGACAUCAGGCCUUCCAAAAUAUAAAAGGCUCACCACUUGAUUCUGCGAUCUGUCGGAAGGAAUCUACUAGUUUUCUGGACCCCUAGACUGUGCCUCCAAACCUGGGAGUGGAGGGGGUCAAUACAAAAGUACUUGUACAAAGAGAAAUCAAAACAGGAAUAUAAUAUUUUUACACAAUAUAGGUGAGAGCCAUUAUGAAGCAGUUUCAUAUCAAAUUAUUUGAAAACACAUGGGCAUAAUGUAAUAGUUUUCAAUACCAAUGUAAUGCGAUUGAGCUAGGUGGAAUACCCUACAAUUGUAAUUCCAUGUCUAUGUGGAAUCCGCCUCUGGUGCUUGGCAGCCAAGCCUCCAAUCCAAGUAGCCGCCAGGAUUUGGAGCCGGUAUACCCCCCAUGUGAGUACACCACAGGGAAUCCCCCCAUGUGAGAUGUUCCAAUUAUUUUAUUAUCCUCCCAUGUAGGAUACAAUAUCAUAUGACCUGCAUCGGCAACUACGGUUCCCAGCGAUGAGCCCUUUCACUCAAACGUCUUCUUCGGGCAUCCACCUUUCUCAUGAAAAUCAAUGCAUUUAAACUUUAUUCAAAUCAAUCACAUGUCAUACUCUGUAGGGUAUCGUCAUACCCGACUUGCAAGUCAUCAGUAUUAUAUCAUUCUCUUCAUUCAAUCAUCAUAUGCAACAUAUUUCAACAUGAACAAAACAACCCUCUCUUUGAAAGUGAAAAACCAUAUCUAAAUCAUGACAUUUUAAAAACAUUUCAUGACAUGCAUUUCAAGAUGAUUUCAAACGAUUCAUAUCAUGUGAAAACUUAAAACAAUAUCAUAUCAAGAGAGGGGUUCCGUGUAAAUCAUGCUCUCAAUUUAUCAUCAUUAUGAAACACAUGCAUAUCCAUAUAUAAUAUAUCAAAUCACAUUGGAAUUAGGCCUAAANNNNNNNNNNNNNNNNNNNNNNNNNNNNNNNNNNNNNNNNNNNNNNNNNNNNNNNNNNNNNNNNNNNNNNNNNNNNNNNNNNNNNNNNNNNNNNNNNNNNNNNNNNNNNNGUACCUCUAUAUGCGAAGAUUAUAGGUGCUUCUUGAAGCCUACGUUCUGGGGAUUCCAAAUAUGCAAUUAUUUUCUAAAACCCCCGGUUGAAUCUUGAGUUGCUUGGGUUUUUAUUUGAAACCCUAGGAGAAUCCUUGAGCACUUUUGAUGAAUGGAGGUGUAUUUUGGGGUCUUUGAAACAGAAUUUCAUGUUUAAGGCUAAGUAAGGGUGGAAAAAGACCAUUUUGCCCCAAAAACGGAGUGUUUAAGUCACUUGAAACCUUUACAUAGGCGCCGCCUAUGCUAUCGCCUAUGCUUUCCAGUGACCCUGUGCGAUUGGUUAGGCGACGCAUAUUACUUUGAAAGGCCAUAACUUCUUGCUCUGGUGCCGGAUUUUAGCGAAAUUGGUAUCGUUGAAAAGGUAACUCGGAAACCUAUCAUUUUACACAUAGUAGGCUUUCUAAUUCGACAUAUACAAAGAGUCAUGGUCGAUAGAAGUUGACACAAAUUAUACUAUCCACUUAAGCUUAAUUGGUUGAAGUAUUUUUUUACUCGUCCUUGAGUCAAAUGACCCCUAAGGUCAAAAUUCAAGCUUGAAUGGAUUCACAUUCUACACAAAUAAUUAACAUGUCGUAUUGGCAUAGGAUUUAUGGCUUCGAAAUUUAUCAACACAUCGGAAUCAUGGUCUAUAUUAUAGCCCAAAAUGUAGGGCGUUACAUUAUCCCUCCCUUAGGAUCAUUCGUCCCCAAGUGAUGAUGCGGGACACAGAUAGACACGAUUUCAAGCAUAAUAAAGGACUAGGAAAGAUAAGAUAGGAAUAGUACCUUCUGUCUCCUUCUCCAUCGAAGUAAAUAAAUUGGGAUAUCUAAUUCUCAUGUCAUCUUCUGAUUCUCAAGUUGCUUCUUCGACUUUCUGAUUCCUCUAUCGUACCUUUACUGAGGCUAUCUCUUUGUUCUUCAUCUUUUGAACUUGGCGAUCUAAAAUUUCAACGGGCUCUUCUUAGUAAGACAAGGAAUCUGUCACUUUGACACCCUCUACUGGCAAUACCAAAGAAUGAUCUCCAAUGCAUUUCUUCAACAUGGAUAAAUGGAAUACCGGAUGAACGGAACCCAAACUUGCAGGCAAUUUUAGCUCAUAAGCAACUGCACCAAUCUUUCUCAGAAUCUAAUAUGGCCCUAUAUAGCGAGGGCUCAAUUUACCCCUUUUUCCAAACCGCAUAACUCCUUUCAUAGGACAAACCUUGAGAAACACCCAAUCACCAAUUUCAAACUCUAGUUCUCUUCUUCGAACAUUGGCAUAGGACUUCUGACGACUCUGAGAAGUCUUGAGUCAUUCUCUAAUGAUCUUUACUUUCUCCAUCCCUGAUGAACAAGAUUAAGCCCAAUAAAUGGGCCUCACCCACUUCAUACCAUCCUAUCAGAAACCUACAUCUCCUCCCAUACAAAGCCUCAAAAGAAGCCAUCUUGAUGCUGGCAUGGUAACUAUUAUUGUAAGCAAAUUCAACCAGUGGCAGGUGAUUUACCCAACUACUUUUAAAAUCAAUGACGCAUGCCCUCAACAUAUCCUGGAGGGUCUGAAUGGUACGCUCAGCUAGCCCAUCUGUCUGAGGGUGGAAAACUGUGCUCAAAUUCACUUGUGUACCUAAACCCUUCUGAAAAGAUCUCCAGAACUGAGAUAAAAACUGCAUACCCCUGUCGGAUAUAAUGGACACUGGUGCCCCAUGCAACCGAACUAUCUCCUCAAUAUAAAUCUUAGCAUAACCCUCUCCCGAAUAAUUAGUCCUCACAGGCAAAAAGUGGGCUGACUUUGUCAAUCGAUCUACAAUCACCCAUAAAGAAUCAUACUGGUUUCGAUAUCUCGAAAGUUCUGUAAUAAAGUCCAUGUUUAUUAUCUCCCACUUCCAUAAAGGCAGGGCAAUCUCUUGGGAAGUACCACCUGGCCUCAUGUGUUCUACCUUCACUUGUUGACAGUUCAAACACUUGGACACAAAAUCAGCUACAUCACGUUUCAUGUUAUUCCACCAAUACAAGGUUUUCAGAUCAUGGCACAUCUUAGUAGAGCUUGGGUGAACGACAUACCUCGAAGUGUGAGCUUCAUCAAGGAUCCUUUUCUGCAGUCCAUCAAUAUUUGGAAUGCACAACCUACCCUGAUAUCUCAGAAUACCAUCACCACCAAUUUCAAAUAACAUUACCUUCUGUUGACCCACAUCUUUCUUGAUUUGCAUCAAGAUGGAAUCUUCAACUUACUUCUCUUUCACUUCAGCACAAAGGGAUGACUUAGCUAACUCAUGAACAAUCAUCCCUCCAUCUUCGAAAUCUAAGAGUCGCACUCCCAGAUUCGCGAGGCGGUGAAUAUCCUUCACCAUCUCUUCCUUCUCUUUUUCAACAUGAGAAAGGCUGCCCAUAGACAACCUGCUGAGGGCGUCGGCUACAAUAUUUUCCUUGCUCGGAUGGUAAUGUAGACUCAUAUCAUAGUCUUUCAAAAGCUCCAUCCAACGUCUCUGCCUGAGGUUCAAUUCUUUCUGCGAGAAAAUAUACUGCAAACUCUUAUGGUCAGUAUAAAUAUCAAUAUGCACUCCAUAGAAAUAGUGCCUCCAGAUUUAAGUGCAAACACACGGCUGCUAACUCCAAGUCAUGAGUGGGGUAAUUGCGCUCAUGCACCUUUAACUGCCUAGAUGCAUAAGCUAUAACCUUACCACGCUGCAUCAAUACACAACCAAGUCCCACAUGGAACGUAUCACAAUAAACCACAAAACCAUCUACACCCUCGAGAAGGGUUAAAACAGGAGCAGUAGUCAGCUUGUCCUUCAACUUCUCAAAACUAUUUUCACACAAGUCAGACCACACAAACUUCAUCUUUUUCUGAGUCAGUUUAGUAAGCAGAGUAUCUAUGGAAGAAAAACUCUCUACGAACCUUCUUUAAUACCCCGCCAAACCCAAGAAGCUCCAAAUAUCGGUUGGAGUCGUGGGUCUGGGCCAUUUUAUCACUGCUUUAACUUUCUGGGGAUCCACUCUUAUCCCGCCACUGGACACAAUAUGCCCCAAGAAGGCAAUAGCAUUUAACCAGAAUUCACACUUAGAAAAUUUGGCAUACAGCUGAUGAUCCUUAAGGGUCUGAAGAAUAAUUCGGAGAUAAUUGGCAUGGUCCUCCUCACUUUUACAAUAGAUCAGAAUAUCAUCAAUGAACACUAUGAUGAAUAAGUCUAGAAACUGAUGGAAUACUCUAUUCAUAAGAUCCAUGAAGGCUGCAGGGGCGUUAGUCAACCCGAAGGACAUGACUAAGAACUCAUAGUGACCAUAUCGGGUUCGAAAGGUUGUCUUGAGAAUGUCUGACUCCCUAACUUUCAACUAAUGAUAACCUGAACGAAGAUUUAUUUUCGAAAAACACUUAGCACCCUGAAGCUGGUCAAAAAGAUCAUCAAUCCUAGGAAGAAGAUACUUGUUUUUAAUCGUGACCUUAUUCAGUUAACGAUAGCCUAUGCACAUACGAAGGGAACCGUCUUUCUUUCGCACGAAAAGUACAGGUGUACCCCAAGGGGACACACUGGGGCGAAUAAAACCCUCAUCUAGAAGGUCUGCUAGCUGCUCUUUUAACUCUUUCAGUUCUGCGGGAGCCAUUCUAUAUGGCAAAAUAGAAAUAGGUCGAGUGUCUGGCAGUACAUCAAUGCCAAAAUCUAUUUCUCUAUCAGGUGGUAUCCCUGGGAGAUCUUUGGGAAAGACUUCUGAAAACUCAUUCACUACAAGGACUGACUGAAAAGAAAGAUUUUCAACUCUUGAAUCUUUUACUCAGAUUAGAUGGUAAAUACAGCCUUUGGAGAUAAGCUUUCGGGCUCUAAGAUAAGAGAUAAAGUGACCUCUAGGUUCCACAGAACUCCCUACCCAUACAAUUGGUGUCUCAUUCGGAAAAUAAAAAGUGAUAUUUCGGGUUCUACAAUCAAGUGUGGCAUAACACAAAUGGAGCCAGUCCAUCCCAAGAAUGGCAUCAAAAUCUACCAUAUCAAGUUCCAUAAGGUCGGCCACAAUAUCCCUACUAAGAAUAGACACAACAUAAUUUCUAUAAACCAAACUAGCAACAAUAGAAUCACCUACAGGAGUGGAAACAGUGAAGGGUUCUUCAAUGACUUCAGGCUCAAACCCAAAACCAACAGCCACAUAGGGGGUCACAUAAAAUAAAGUAGACCCAGGAUCAAGCAAUACAUAAACAUCACGAGAAAAAAAUUGUAACAUACUGGUGACAACAUCUGGUGAAGCCUCCGCCUCCUGGCGGUUAGUCAAAGAAUAUAACCGGUUGCGACCGCUCCCGAUAGCUGAAGGGGAACCCUUAGGAGGAAGAGCCGUGGGGGCAGCUUGGGGCCUAGUCCCCCCUGUAUUUUCUCCAGCAGAAGGGCAAUCUCUUUGAAAAUGUACCACCUUGCCACAAGUAUAACAAUUUUUCCCCUCAAAAAAAACUUCCCUGGGUGAUUCCUCCCACAAAUCUCACACCGUGGAUAAGCACGACGUUGUUGGGCCACACUCCCCUGCGACUGAGUAUCUGGGGCUCUCGAUCCAUGAUGAGUCUAGAAACUCUAAGAUCGUCUGUUUGCUGGUGGUCAAGGCAGCAGACUGUGCAUUACUCCAUGACUUCUUAUUUUUCCAUCUAUUUCCUCAGUUGCCGCUCUGUGGAUGGCUGUGAUUCUGAUCCGCAGUUCUGGCUCUCUUUGCUUGCCUGUCUUUCUCUCUUAUUUCUGAAAUUUUCUUUUUGUUCUCUUCUAUUUGUUGCAUAUGAACGAUCAGCCGAGAAAAGUCUAACUCCUUAUUCAACAUAGCCCCCUGGCACUCAAGUACCAGGUUAUCAGCAUGGCUGGAUGCAAAUUUCCUCAUCUGGGCUCUCAUAUUACUAGUCAACUCUGGUGCAUAGUGGGCUAGUUUAUCAAACUUCAAAGUGUACUCCUGGACACUCAUACUGCCCUACUUAAGAUUCAUAAACUCUUCCGCCUUGGCCUCCCUCAACUCUAGAGGAAAGAAUCGAUCAAGGAACAAAUUCGCCCCAAACUGUGGGCUCAGAACUUUCACCUUUUGCAUCCUCCCAGUCGGCAUACCACUGAUUCACAACAUCCUUGAGCUGAUAAGGUGCCAAUUCCACCCCUUCAACCUCAUCCACAUGCAUUACCUUAAAGAUCUUUUCCAUCUCAUCCAUGAACUCCUGUAGAUCUUCCUUCACCUUUGUGCUAGUGAACCUAGGUGGGUUCAUCUUCAUGAAAUUCCCAACCCUAGUAGUCUCAGACGUAACAGAUGCAGACCCAACAUCUUUCGAUCAUUGAGCCUGGUUAGCUACCAACUGUGUCAUCAUAUGAAUAAACCGUCUGAAUUCUGCAUUUAAAAUAUCUCCCUGAGCAGUUGGGGGACGGUUGACAUCAGUCCGCGGAGCCCGAGGUAAACUGGUCGGGACUGGAGGGACUCCCGGAGUAGUGACAAGUUCUUUACGAGUCUGCAUCCCAUGGGUGGGACGGAACUCAUAUGCCUGAGCAUUCUGAUCGAUGAUACGACAUGGAGGCAUAACUGUGUUUCUGAAAUACAAGAGAUCAUUGUUUAGGGGACAGCUCAGACUCUAAAGCUCGAACUAAAUCACAAAGAAGGGAAAUAUUUUCUAAACGCCUAGCAGCCUCCUGCUUAUAUGUGUGGCGUGCUACACACCCAUAAAUAGGACUCUACCCGAUGUGAUUUCGCAGAUACCCUGGGACCAUGAACUGUGCUUUGAUAACAAGUUUGUCACGACCCAAACCGGGGCCCUGGCCAUGACGAGUAUUCCGAACCAUGAGGCCUGAAACACCCUUAUCUGUCUGGUAAUCAUGCACACAAUUCAUAUGAUAAAAGAAAUGCAGAAGAUACACAAUAUAACGGAAACAUGGUCAAGAAUCAUGCGAAAGUAAUAAUAGGGAAUAAUGUCCCACAAUCUCAACACAACAUCUCUAUAACGUCUGCGAAAUCUCUACUACAUGACUAAAACAAAUGUCUAUCUGAAAACUGAGACAAGGCCCCCAGUAGACCCAAAACUAAUAAAUGAUAAAUUAAACUGCAGACAUCAGGCCUUCUAAAAUAUAAAAGGCUCACCACUUGAUUUCGUGAUCUGUCGGAAAGAAUCUACUGGUUGUCUGGACCCUAGACUGUGCCUCCGAACCUGAGAGGGGAGGGGGUCAAUACAAAAGUACUGGUACGCAGAGAAAUCAAAACAGAAAUAUAAUAUUUUUACACAAUAUAGGUGAGAGUCAUUAUGAAGCAGUUUCAUAUCAAAUUAUUUGAAAACACAUGGGCAUAAUGUAAUAGUUUUCAAUACCAAUGUAAAGCGAUUGAGCUAGGUGGAAUACCCUACAAUUGUAAUUCCAUAGCUAUGUGGAAUCCACCCCUGGUGCUCGGAGGCCAAGCCUCCAAUCCAAGUAGCCGCCAGGAUUUGGAGCCGGUAUACCCCCCAUGUGAGUACACCGCAGGGAAUCCCUCCAUGUGAGAUGUUCCAAUUAUUUUAUUAUCCUCUCAUGUAGGAUACAAUAUCAUAUGACCCGCAUCGGCAACUACGGUUUCCAGCGAUGAGCCCUUUCACUCAAACGCCUUCUUCGGGAAUCCACCUUUCUCAUGAAAAUCAAUGCAUUCAAACUUUGUUCAAAUCAAUCACAUGUCAUACUCUGUAGGGUAUCGUCAUACCCGACUUGCAAGUCAUCAGUAUCAUAUCAUUCUCUUCAUUCAAUCAUCAUUUGAAACAUGUUUCAAAAUGAAUAAAACAACCCUCUCUUUGAAAGUCAAAAACCAUAUCCAAAUCAUGACAUUUUAAAGACAUUUCAUGACAUGCAUUUCAAGAUGAUUUCAAACGAUUCAUAUCAUGUGAAAACUUAAAACAAUAUCAUAUCAAGAGAGGGGUUCCGUGUAAAUCAUGCUCUCAAUUUAUCAUCAUUAUGAAACACAUGCAUAUCCAUAUAUAAUAUAUCAAAUCACAUUGGAAUUAGGCCUAAAGACCAAAUCAAUAUCAUAAAACAUUUAAAACAUAAUCAUAUUCGUAAUUUCAAAACCCCCAUUUUGAAAACAUAAAUUUUUAAAGCCCAUGAGAUUUUUAAGAUAACCCCACGUACCUCUAUAUGCGAAGAUUAUAGGUGCUUCUUGAAGCCUACGUUCUGGGGAUUCCAAAUAUGCAAUUAUUUUCUAAAACCCCCAGUUGAAUCUUGAGUUGCUUGGGUUUUUAUUUUGAAACCCUAAGGAGAAUCCUUGAGCAUUUUUGAUGAAUGGAGGUGUAUUUUGAGGUCUUUGGAACUGAAUUUCGUGUUUAGGGCUAAGUAAGGGUGGAAAAGAACCAUUUUGCCCCAAAAACGGAGUGUUUAAGUCAUUUGAAACCUUUACUUAGGCACCGCCUGUGCCAUCGCCUAUGUGGCGCCGCCUAUGCUAUCGCCUAUGCUUUCCAGUGGCCAUGUACGAUUGGUUAGGCGACACAUAUUACUUUGAAAGGCCAUAACUUCUUACUCGGGUGCCAGAUUUUAGCAAAAUUGGUAUCGUUGGAAAGCUAACUCGGAAACCUAUCAUUUUACACAUAGUAGGCUUUCUAAUUCGACAUAUACAAAGAGUCAUGGUCGAUAGAAGUUGACACAAAUUAUACUAUCCACUUAAGCUUAAUUGGUCGAAGUAGUUUUCAACUCGUCCUUGAGUCAAAUGACCCCUAAGGUCAAAAUUCAAGCUUGAAUGGAUUCACAUGCUACACAAAUAAUUAACAUGCCGUAUUGGCAUAGGAUUUAUGGCUUCGGAAUUUAUCAACACAUCGAAAUCAUGGUCUAUAUUAUAGCCCGAAAUGCGGGGCGUUACAUUUAUGGUUGCUUAUAAGUUUUCACAUGAAAACCCUGUAGCUGGAUUUUGUAUCCGUCAUGUGAAAUAAGUUAAGCAUUAUAAAUAAAGGAUUAAAUUAAUCAAUGAGUUAAAUUUUUCAGAGAAUUUAAUUUAAUUGAUUGGUGUCGGUAAUUCUAACAUGGGGAGUUAAGUAAGAUGUAAUGGUAGAUUUUGAAAUUAAACCGUGGAGUGCAAUUACAAAAUUUUAGUGGAAUAAUUUGUAAUUUAUUGUGAUAUGGUAAUUCAUUCAUUUGCAAAUUAAUAUCAUAAUUGGAAGCCCCACUUAAUAAAUCUGUGGUCCCUGCUAUACUUGAUUAACUAAUCAAUUUUGAAAAAGAGAAAGAACUUACUAGAAAAAGUAAUAUUACUUACUGGUCUUCUAUAAGGAAAAAAAAUCUUCUGUUUUAAAAAAAAAAUAAAAAAUUGGAAAAUUAAAGAGGCAAAAAACGUUUUGACAAUUGAAAAUCCAUAUACUGUUGCCUCUUAGCUCCCUCUUUAUGUAAAGUAUGAAUAAACAAUUAAAAAGCCAUAAACUUUGCCUCUUGACUCCCUGUUUAUGUAAAGCAAGAAUAAACAAUUGAAAUGAAAGAAACUUUUGUUGUCUUGUUUUUCUUAUUGGCUUUCCCCUAAUAAGAAUAUAUAGGAGUUUUGGCUAAGAAGAAAUAUACAGUUUUUCUGGACAUAUUCUUUUUUAAUCCAAAAGUACUUGUCCAUACAAGUUUGAUAACAAAGUCAGUCAGGAUAUUGUAGAAGACUGUAGUCCUAGAGGUAAAAACAAUGAACAAAUUGUGUGAAAGCUUUAACAGGUAAAUAAUUUUUUCAAUUUCGUUUGAUAAUUUGUAUUGUCUAGAUUAUAUGUAAGUUAUUGAUCCUGUAGAAUUAUUACUUCCGUUGUGCAUAAUCUAACAAGCAGUAGAUUUAGUUAGCAAGCCAAGCCCAAAUUUAGGUUUAUAUAACUGAAAUGAAAAUUCGAAAAAAAGCUUCUACAACUUUUUCUUCUCUCCUUUUCCUUUCUGCAUGUCUGGAUCAAGGUGCUCUAAAUUACUGAAGUUUACGUAUAUGUAUUAAAUUCUCACUAAAUAAUAUAAUGAUUGAUAACAUUUAAUUCCUGUUUCACUCAACUAUGAAAAAUUAUAUAGUAAAAUCAAUCAACUUAAAAUUACUCAAUUUUGGAAUAUCCUCAAAUAAAUUCACUCAACCAAAUUUGUCAUUAAAAAGAAAAUCUGACAUGAUAAAUUAAAUUAAAUAAAAAACCCGACAGUAAUUUAAUGAUUUUAUUGAUAUAAAACAAAAGUUAAUUAUUUUCCUAAAUAGUUCUUAAAAGUUAAAUGACCAAAUCUAUACGACGUUGACUCAAGAAAGUCAAUAAAAAGAAGAGUCAAAAAUUAGAGGCCGGUACAAAGUCGCACGUAGGGUAACGAGGGGGAUUCACGUCUAUACGUGUAGUGUGGUGCUUAAACCUACCCACCCUAUUUGUUCCAUGAUUUAUGGGUCUACUGGAUUGGUCAAACUUAUUUAUCCUCAAAAUUGCUUAUUUUUUAAAAAAAGUGUUUAGUUUUUUAAAAAGGAGGUGUCUAAUCCAAGUUUCAUACACAAAUUAAUCCGAGUUUGCACCAUGUAUAGCCCGCUCUAUAUUAAUCCAAAAUUUUCACACGCGGCUAGUUAAGAAAGAAAUAACUCCAUCUGCUCCAUAUGUGCUUUACUUGCAAAAUUCGAUAAAUUUAAUCUUUAAAAUUAUAGUAUUUAUAUUUAUACUAAUAAAGAUAAGUAUUAGUUUAAAUCUGACAUUAAUUAAAAUAUCAUAAUAUAUUUUCACGUCAAAAAUAUUGAAUUCAUUAUUACGCCAAAUGGUGACACGUGUCCCCAACUACGCAUACGAUUACAAUUUGCUUUUGUUGUUGUUAGGGAAUCUGAAGUUUUGAUAAUAGAUAUAUGAAUGAAAAAUGUUGUGCAAGCUAGUCCAUACAAGUGAAGAAGAGAAGUUGAAGUUACUGGUUCUCACAUGAAAUUGCAUGAUGCAAGGCUGGCAGGCGUUAGGACAAAAGUGGAUAAGCAAGGACACUCAAAUAUCUUACCAAUGCUUAUCACAUACAACAAAAAAGAUUGAGGAAGAGAUAAGUACAAACACCUAGAGGUUGAGUUGAUCAAGGAAUUCUGUCAAACUAGGAGAUGAAGUAGAAGAGUCCUAUUCAGUCAAAGUGAUAGACGACUACAACAGGAGUGAAACUAUUUGGUAGAGUCCUAUUGAAGAUAGAAGAAUACAUCAUCCAAAUGACUCUAUCAGGAGUUGGCUUAAAUAGAAGAACCAACAUUCAAGAGUUUCACUCAAGCACUGACAAAGAAAAUCAUCAAUCAACAAAUCAGUUCACCACCAAACUUGAAGAAGAACCUGGUCCUUUACUUAGCAAGUCGUAGACGUUGUAGUAGGUUGGUUCUUUGAAUCAUAAUGUGUUUUAUUUCUAGUCUCAGUGAGUUAUAAACUGAGUUAGGAGUUGUGUGUUCAAGUUGGGGAAUUCAAAGACUUGGGAACACUUAUCUUGGGAAGAUUUGUGUUAGUAUAGAAAUGGAAGUUAGAAGUUUUAAUUAACAAAAUCACAAGAAGUGUUGUAAUUUGUUGAUUGUGAGUAUUUAGUGAAGUUGGGGUUAAAUCCGGUACAGGUCGUGUUUUUACCUCUUUCUUGAGCCGGGUGUUUUCCACGUAAAAAUACUUGUUUUCAUUUUUACUUAUGCGAACCACGUUAGUUGACUUGUUUCACUAAUAGGCAACUAUUAGAGUAAAACACUAAAAUCAGUAGGUACAUACUCCAACCGUUGUCUUUUUUUUUUUCCUGAAAAUAAAAAGUUGAUGGAAUACUGUUCCAUUUUAAAAUAUCAAUCCUGGAUUUUUGUACAAAUAUCCAGCCUUAUAACUAAGGGUGGCAGCGGACCGGAGUUAAUCCGGUUUCGGUCCAUUUUCGGUCAUGGUUCGGUCCGAUAACGCAACGGUACCGGUUUGUACCGGUACCAAACGACCUGGAAUACGGUACCAGUGAGGAGGGGCAUUUUUUUCUGGUAGUUCCGAUUCUGGUUUACCGAUUCCGGUGCUGAUUGGCCGGAUUCGGUCCGGCGCCGACCGGUGCAUGUUAAUUUAAAAAAAAAAAGAAAAAUAGUUUUGGCCGUUGUUAACUGUUGUAAAAUAGUUGUUGGAGGGGGCAACGGCUAUUUUGUGCCUCCCCCUACCAAUUAGUCCACUACACCAUUAAUUUUCUACUAUAAAUAUCCUUUUAAAUCAAUUUUUUUUUCUCACAAAUUUCUCAAUUUCUCAUACUCUCUAAAUCUUAAAUCUUAAUAUUCUCAUACUCAAUAUUUAUAAUUUUUGUAUUAAUUGGAGUUGUGAAUUUUUUUAAAGAUACUACAAGCUUCAAUUAUCAUAUUUCAAUUACGACAUUUGGUAUACGUCUGCUUUUACGCAGACGUUCGGUAUAUUCGCUCCAACUUUAAUCUCUAUAUGUUUUAUUUUUAAUAUCUAUAUUUGUUUACUUACAGUCUUACGUUUAUUUUUUGAUUUAUAAUAUUUAUAUUGCUUGUUUUAACAUUUUAAUUAUAUUUAAAUUUAAUUAUGGAUGCAAAUAAAAGUAGUGGUAAGAGACCAAUCUUUGGUAAGGUUUUUCGUAGAAAUAAAAAAAAUAAUGUUACUACUAGUUCAUUAUCGCCUAGAUUUAAUGAAAAUUCUUUAUCACAACCUAAUGGUUUUGAUGUUGGUGCCGGUAUGGAAUUAGAUCAUGAGACACUAAGUAGGCGUUAUAAUAAUUUUGAGGGAGACUUACCGAAAGAAGAUGAUAUAGAAGUACAAGAGUUAGGUGAAACCCCUACCCCUACUAGUCCGGUUACGGAAAUACCAAAAGACGAUGAUGUACUUCCCCUUUACCGAAAUUUAGUAGGGCCAAAGGUACUGAACGUCCUAAACGGUCUUUAGUUUGGCAAUUUAUGAGUCAAGAUAAGGAAAAAAAUAUUGCUACUUGCAAUAAAUGUAAGAGUUAUGAAACAUUUGACUGGGGAAAAAAAUGGUGGGACAGGGUUGCUUACUACGCAUUUGAGGAAAUGUAAUACAAAAUUUAUUCGUCUAGAAAAUGAGGCUAAGGCAAAAAAAGGUGGUACACCAUUGACGGGAAAAUCUGUGGGAGGUAAUAUGGUUCAAACGCGUUUAGAUAGGUUUAACCCAACUAGCUUAAGUUCUACAUUGACAUAUAAUGAAGAUGUAGAUAGAGAAGAACUAGAGAAAAUGGUUACUGUUAUGGGAUUGUCAUUCAGUUUUCCUUCGCAUCCCGGUUUUAUUCAUUAUAUUCAACGAGUAUAUAAUCUUUCUUUCAAAGGUUUUUCACGAAAUACAAUUAAAAAUGAUAUUUUUAAAUUUCAAGGUGAACAUUGUCAUUUUCUUCAUUGCUUAUUUAGUAAAUUUGAUAGUAGAGUAUCUAUUACUUCUGAUAUGAAUCGUAGUAUUAUCGGUAAUGAUUAUUUUACUGUCACGGUUCAUUGGAUUGAUCACCAUUGGAACAUGCAAAAAAGAAUUAUUGUUUAUAAAUAUGUUGACGAAACUAAAACCGGUAAAUAUAUAUCUUUUACAAUAGCAGAAUGCUUAANNNNNNNNNNNNNNNNNNNNNNNNNNNNNNNNNNNNNNNNNNNNNNNNNNNNNNNNNNNNNNNNNNNNNNNNNNNNNNNNNNNNNNNNNNNNNNNNNNNNNNNNNNNNNNNNNNNNNNNNNNNNNNNNNNNNNNNNNNNNNNNNNNNNNNNNNNNNNNNNNNNNNNNNNNNNNNNNNNNNNNNNNNNNNNNNNNNNNNNNNNNNNNNNNNNNNNNNNNNNNNNNNNNNNNNNNNNNNNNNNNNNNNNNNNNNNNNNNNNNNNNNNNNNNNNNNNNNNNNNNNNNNNNNNNNNNNNNNNNNNNNNNNNNNNNNNNNNNNNNNNNNNNNNNNNNNNNNNNNNNNNNNNNNNNNNNNNNNNNNNNNNNNNNNNNNNNNNNNNNNNNNNNNNNNNNNNNNNNNNNNNNNNNNNNNNNNNNNNNNNNNNNNNNNNNNNNNNNNNNNNNNNNNNNNNNNNNNNNNNNNNNNNNNNNNNNNNNNNNNNNNNNNNNNNNNNNNNNNNNNNUAUGGUUGACAAAUUUAAAAAAUAUUUUUUUUCGAUUCCACAAAUUUAUUUGACAGCUACUUUAUUCAACCCAUUUUACAAAGAACAUGGUGUAAUUAUGAUGGUUCAAAAAAUUUACACCAAUUUAGAAAUUGAACCUCAUGAAAGGACAUCGGUUGAAACGUGUUGUGCUAGCAUAGUACCUAAAACCAAGAGUUUAUAUAACAUGUAUCAAGUUAUGGAACAUAAUUUUGCGUCAAUCGAACCUCCUACUUUUAGACAUAGAUAUGAUGAUUUAGAUGAUGAGAUGGGUGAAGAACUUGGUCUUCAAUGUUGUAGCAGUAAUGAUUUUGAUUCAUAUAUUUCUCAGGAUCGGGAAUGUAUUAGAGAUGCAAAUGGACAACAACAACUUUUAGGAUGGUGGAAGACCCGUACCAGACAAUUUUCAAAACUAUCAAGGGUGGUUCGAGAUUUGCUAGCAAGUCAAGCUUCUCCAGUCGCAUCGGAGCAAGCUUUUAGUGCAGGAAGAUUUAUGAUUGGAGAUCAUCGAUAUUUGUUGGCGAAGGAUAGUUUGAAAAUUUUGGUAUUAUUUAGAGAUUGGAUUAAUGCCGAAAGAAGAAAUUUUGGGCUUCCAAAAUUACCGCCCCAGAUUGAAGACAAAAUAGAUGAAAUAUUUGAGGAGAAUAGUGAUGAUGGAAUGGAAGCAAUGGAAGAACAAGGAAAAAAAGAUCAAUUCAGGAAAAUAUAGAAAUAGAUAACUUACGUAUAGAAUAUUAUGGACAUUAUAGAUAUUAAGAUUCUAGAGUACAGAUCUAAUUCAAACAUAACCCUUCCUAGAAGGUGGCUGCGUAGAUUAGAUUCUCUUUUAAUAUUUAUAAUAAAUGUUCAACGUAAUGUAUUAAAUUUGAAUAAAUAUAAAUUUUUCUAAGGUUAUGUAAUAAAAAGUUAAGGUUAUGUAAUAAAAAGUUAAUGUUAUGAAUUAAACUCAUAACUAUUUUAAAAAUUAUAUAUCAAGUUGAUGUUAACUUUUUUUAACAUAACUUUAUAAUUAUAUUAAUAAAAUAAUUUAAAUUAUUAAAAUAAUUAUAUACUUUUAAUUUUUUUAAAGUUAAAAAGCAAAUGUUAUAACUAAUACAUACAUUCUUUUAUUAUAAAAGUCAUAACAUUAAUAAAAAUUAAACAAACAGUGACAUGCAAACAGUAAAACGCCGGAACUUCGGUUUCCGUACCGGUCCGACAUGGUACCGCACCGGUGACAACCGAACCAGGGUGGAAGGACCAUAUUUUCCGGUGAUACCGGUUCCGGUAUAAUACACCGGACAUUCUUUCCGGUACCGGAUCCGGUUCUGAUUGUUCCGUUGCCAGGCUUACUUAUAACUGAAGGGUGGGGUUGAGCACCACAUAAUAUCCUGCUACGCGUCUCCAACACAUAAGUAGGCAUUAUGCACGAGGAAUCAAGUGAAUUUGUAGAUACUUUUGACUGGAUAAUCGUCCUUUUCUAACUAAGGGGACCAAUAGAUUUGCCCAUCUUUUUAUUUUAUUUCUUGAGGAUCCUCACAGGUUUUUUUAAUAUAAGCCUUUUAGAUUGUGCAACAAAAAAAUGUGACACCACUGACAUACCUUCCUUAAAAGAUUUAAUCAAAAGAAGAAAGCAUUCGUCAGAUUUCCAAAUGAAGUUAAAGUUUGCUCAAGUUUCAGAUGACAAAUAGAUAAGAUCAAGCAACAGAUGGACCUGCUUUAAAGCAUAAAGACGUGUAGAUGAUUUUCUGAUAUGGCUUUUCAUCCUCAGCAAAGACCAUGUAGAUAAAUGUGAAAUGGACAUGCACCAAUGAAUCAAGUGAUGUCAAAUUCCAGUGUCAGUAAAAAGCACGACCAAAGAUAUCAAUCUUUUCUACUUUAUCAAGUUGCAAAUCAGAAUUAGUUGCCAACUCAUGAUUGAUGCCAAAAGAUGGUACCAAUAUCCAUCAUAUUUACAGUACUUGAAAGCUUUUGGUCCAAGUCGUACCCAAUUAUAAGGCAGAGCCGAUCAAUAGAUAAUAAAAACCUACAGUAGAUAACAAAAGCCUAUCAAAGCGAAGACACUCGAAUGCUACAGUAUUUUCUAAUAUACCUAACUGCUAUAAACAAAUGAGUUACAUGGCAUCCGUAAGACUAUUCAUAGCGAGAAAAAGAAGUCCAGUCAUUGCUACAACAACAUACCCCAUGUAAUCCCACAAGUGGAGUCCAGGGAGGGUGUGGUGUACGCAGAUCUUACCCCUACCUUGUGAAGUAAGGAGGCUAUUUCGGAAAGACCCUCACCUCAAUUAAAGACAAAUGAAUUAAUGAAAGCAGGUUUGAAAACUCUAGUUAUUGCUACCAGGAAUAACAGGGAAUGUAAAACUACAUCUGAGAUAAAUGCAAGAAUAUCCAUAAGAAUCACUAAAGAUCUGACUUAAGUUGUUUGUUAAGAAAGCGACCCCUAAAUCUGAAUUUUGAUUGAUCUUUUGUUUUUUUUUAGAUAACCGUGAUGUCCGGGCCAUUUUUCGCACACCUCAAACUAAUUAUGCGGGAUACCUGCCACCUCCCACCAACAACAAAUAACAAUCAACUAUGUCCACCGUGGCUAGAACAGAUGAGAAGAAUCACCUAAAGUUUUUUUUUUGUCUCUCCUAGGAUUUGAACCUGAGACCUCAAUUUCUCAACCCACUUUAUUGACCACUAGGUCACACCCUUGGGCGUGAAUUUUGAUUAAUCUCCUCCAAACAUAAAGAAUUGUUUAAGUUGUCGGUGAUAACAUACUAAAACGAGACAUUUCUAUAGAGACUCAAACAUACUUCCCGAGCUAGCUAAAGCUCCAGUUAAAUCUCAUCAUCACCUGGACAUACUUUAACAACAAAGAUCGCAAAUGUUAUCGAACUCAAAUAAACUAUUAGUUACAUGUCACAAGCUGUCCCUAUCUGAUAUUGUUAUCAGAAAAUGAUUGUCCACUGAUCACCAUGAAUUGCACAAUCAGCUUGAACAAAAUAGUGCUUUAAGAACAUAUUUUGAGAAUGAAAUGUGUUGUCAAUAAUGGUAAUUUUUUUUUCAUGUUAGGCCAACCUUCUCAGUGGGUUUUGUUAAUUAGAAGGCAAGGCAAUUCCUGUUAAUAAAGAGUACUUGAGUAGUGCUGGACAUAUUGAAAAACAUUUAUCAAAUGAAGUGUCAACUCAUGUAUGUAUAGAGAAAUGUAUAGCAACACUUGUUUAUUGCGUUACACACACAGAGAGUCAUUUUAAGUGAUUUAAAUACUAAUAAAAGCCUGAUCUACUAAAUGAUCAAAAUAAUGAAACAUAGGUACAACACACAUAUCGAUUGACCAGAUAAGCUGGAAAAAAGCAAAAGUAAAUUUGAUAAAUUGGAAAAUUAUUAGGAAAGACAGUAUUCGUUUACUUGGACAAAUCUUGUGAUCACAGGGAAAAAGAAUUGUCAAACUAUUAAUGGUAUUGCACCAUUUAUAUGGAAUAAUGUAAUUUGCCUACAAUACAUACUAACUAUUAACAAAGAGAGUACUGUAUUUUUUCCAAUCAAGCCUACCUGCUUCAAUAGUUUAACCAUAGUACCCCCCAUGAUCUAUGUGAAAUAAAUAACAUUCUGUUUGAAUAAUAGACUGCUAGACAGUGGGAAUGCAAUUAUCCCAGAUGACUCAUAUCAAUCUGUUUACUAAUUUUGCAGCUCAAAUGGUAUUCAAAUUGCAGUGGCCCUCGAGAGAUUUGGACUAGUGGUAAGAGCGCAACACACAAAUGUGUCAUUAGGCGCAGGUCAUGGAUUCAAGCCAAAGUGUCUUGCUAAGCAAUUGCAGAGAAACCGAACCCUCAAUCACCUUCUCCUCCAAAAUGCUCUAAGCUCUAUUGUUCUCUCCUGUGUAUGAUGCAUGGUCAGUGCACGUCGUAGCAACUCCACAUCUUGAAAUGUGUACCUAAAUGGAAAUGUAUUCAUACACAAGAGGAACUCAAUUUCAAUCAGGAUUUGAUUAACUGAACAGAACAAUUAAAAGAAAUGAGCUAAAGGUCAAAAACACACCUAAAAUAUCAGUUUUCCAAGUUUUACACCAAGGAAAUGUGAGAGAACUUAAUGGUUUCAAUAUAUAAGAGGAAAUUGGAUCUCUUUUUCGUUUGUAUAUAUUGGACAAAUACUUAGUGUUGAGUCCUGCUCCAGUGUAACUGAUAUUUCAGGGACAUGAUGUUUACCUUAUAGGAGUAUUUCAACUGCAAAAAUUGUGCCCGUACCCGGAUGAAAUAUUAAAAAUUAAAAUGAGUUCAAGAAUCAUGUGUUUUUAUUGCUUCAGUUAUCAUAUUAUGUUUUCCCCAAGUGCUUUUAUUUCAUUGUUUUAUAUGUAUCCCAUAAAUUUCUUACAACAAAUAUGAAAUUUGAACAAAAAUUAAUGAAUUCAACCAAACAUGUAAUCUUUACUCUAGCUCCACCCCGGCUAGGAAGGAGAUAAAGGUUUCCCACGCAUUAGAAAUGACAAACAACCACAAUUAUUUAUUGGAAUCAAGAACCAAAGCUUGCAACAUGAUUUACAGGGGAUUACCAAAACAACUAGAGAAAAGAGUUAAAGGAACCUCAAAAACCAUGUUAGUUGCUUUGGUUCUUGUCUGACUCAUUCACUUCACCAUUUUGCUGCGGAGUGACAGAUGUAGUCAUCAAAUCAAAACCCAACUUUUGCUUUGUGAUAUCAUCAAGAACCUCAAUCAUUUCCUUUGAAAGAUGGUUCUUGGAAUCGCCCACUUUGCCUUGCCGGAAAAAUAUGUUGUUUGCAAUAGUAAGACUAAACGCUCCAGAGUAUGUGCCCUCUUUAUUCACCUCCAAAUUUCUUAGUUUUUCAAAGCUGCAGAGCUCUAUUAUUCUCUCUACAAUGCCUUCACUUUCUUCCUCCAACGAAAAUGGCUGCCCCAAGAACUCUGCUAAUUUCUUUGCAUUGAAGAUUGGAUCUUUCUUCAAAUCCUCAUACUUCAAGAAAAGAACCCUCUCUGGAAAUUCUAAGCUGGCUUUAUAAUAUCCCAUCACAUGAUCCCAAAAUGGACCAAAAGGGGAAUACCCUUUAGUAAAUUGGUCAAAUGCUUCUGCUAGAGAAAUGAAAGGCAUGUCUUUGGGUCUUAAUUUCUGCACAAAGUACCAGAAAGAAACUAACACAUCUUUUGCAUCACGAAACACAUAGACUAUUUUGCAUUUGUAGUUAUCACCUGUUAUAGACUCUGGUAAACCAUUGAAGGCAAGAUGUGAUUGUAUGAGACAAGUGUUUGGGGUUGGAUUUGUUGGGUGCUUAAGUGCAUAGGACUCUAGAUAGGGUACUAACUCAUGUGGGUUUGAAGAGAGCAAAGGGUGUGUGCUAAAAUCGUCAUGUUGUAAUCUGUUUGUAAUGGCAAAAAGAAGGGCCUUGAGCCAUGUGGUGCCAGACUUUGGGUGACUGGCUAGUAAGACACUAUUUGGUUUUGGCUCAAAUUGUUGCUGCUGAAGUACUAGCAAACCUUGUAGAACACUUGACGAAUACCAAGUACCUUUGUAUUGGUAAAUCUGAUCACUUACCCAACCUCUUUCACUAGGAAGCUCAGAGAGUAUUAUAUCAACGGAUUCUUGGUGAUUUUCAUGGGUUUGUUCUUUGGUAAUGCUGGCAACAUUUGUGUGUGAGGGGGAGUUUUGGGUAGAGAAGAAGUUUGCCAUUAGAGUUGAUGAGCAAAAGGAAGAGAAACUCUUGCUACAUUUAUAAUAUCACUUAACUAUAUGUUUAUUAUGAAAAAGUUAUUUUUAUUUUAUUUAUUAUACAAAAAUUAUUUUACUUUAUUCUGUUCAUCACAAAAAUUACUAUCAAAUUUUAUAAUAAUUCGAUCAAAAAAAUAUUGUGCAACUUUAAUUAAUUCUUAAUUUUAAUUUAAAAAAUAUAAUAUAUUAUCAUAUUUUAAUUCUUUUUAUAUGUAUCCAACCUAAUUUUUCUUUAAAAUUAUAUAACGAAAUUAUGUCAAUUUUUUUUUAAUAGAACAAACUACCUAAUAAAGAUUAUUUUCAUAAAAAUAAAAUUGGUUGAUAUUUUUAUGAUAAAUUCAAACUUUAAAAUUAUAUUACUCAUACUACUAAAAAUUACUAGUAUAAAUCUAAAUCUGAUAUUUAUUAAAAUAUCAUAAUAUAUUUUCACAUUAAAAAUAUUGAAUUCAUUAUUAUGCCAAAUGGUGACACGUGUCCCAACUACGUGUACGAUUACGAUUUGCUUUUGUUGUCUUAUUUUAUUUUUUUCCGGAAAAUAAAAAGUUGAUGGAAUACCGUUCCAUUGUAAAAUAUCAAUCCUGGCUUUAUGUACAAAUAUCCAGCUACUAGCCUGUGCAAGGCACGGGACAAUGAAUAUUUUUUAAAAAAAAUUAUUUUAAUUAUUUUGAUUUAUAGUAUUUUUUUACAUAUUUCUUUAAAGCAUAUAAUAAAUUAUUUUUUAGAUAUUUUAAGUUGUUAACUAUUAUAAUUUAUAAUAUUUUAAUAUAAUUUUUAAAUAAUUAGAUGACCAUAAUAAUUAAUUAUAAAUGAUAUAGUAAAGUACGCUUGAAGUAGCAUAGCAGACAUGUCUUAAUGACUCACAAUAACUAAUUAGAAGUGAUAUAACAAAAUUAAUGUAAAAAAAUACUUGUGCAAAAUUUUAAAUGGUCAUAAUAAUUAAUUAGAAAUGACAUAGUAAAAUCACGAUUGGAACAACGAAGCAGACAGAUCUAAUUAGACGCAAUAUAACAAAAUUAUUAUACAAAAAUACUUAGUAAAGUAGCUUAAGCAGACAUGUCAUAAAUAUCUAUUUUAUUUUUUAUUAAAUAUUAUUAAUUUUCUAAUAUAUAAAUAAAUUUAUAAUAAUUAAUUAAAAAUGAUAUAAUAAAAUUAUGAAAAAAAUUAGCAAAUAAAGCAGUCAGAAAAAGCAUGUUGACGGAUUUGUGCUUCUCCUACCCCAUUCCCUGUUAUUAGGUAAGAUUAAGAUAAAGAUAAAGAUAAAGAUAAGAUAUUUAGCGUUUGAUAAGUAGGCAUUAUGGACGAGGAAUCAAGUGAAUUUGUAGAUACUUUUUCAGUGGAUAAUCAUCCUUUUCUAAGGGGACCAAUAUCCUUGCUCAUCUUUUUAUUUUAUUUUUCUCUUGUGGAUCCUCACUGGUUGUUUUUAUAAGCCUUUUAGAUGCAAAAAUUAACUAAAUAAAUUUAUUAAAUUAUUUUUUUUCUAUUUCUUUUCUUUUCUUUUUUUUUUUUUAUAUAUUAGAAGAGAUGAUUUCAAUAUGUGAGCUUUUUAUUUUUGAGAGUAUUAAGGUCUUUAAAAUAAGUUUUAAGCUCAAUUUGAUAAUCUUUUGUGCUUUGUUUUUUGAACCUCUUUAAAAAUUUUAAUAAAAGCUCAUUCAUUUCUCUUUAAUUACCAACAAUAUCAUGUAAGAAAUUUAUAAUAAUACCAUCACAUGUGACGUUGCAUAUAUUUCCACAUAUGUGGACCUCUCUAUCUUCUAUUUAUUUUUCAUUUUUAUUUAUCUUUUUUACGAAUAAAACUAUUUCAAAUAUAUUAUAUUUAAGUAAAUUGAUCAGAAAGAUGAUAGUUUAUUGUAAAAAUUAAUUAUUGAUACUAUUAAAUAAAUUUUAUUCUUUAUUUAUUUCAUAUCAAACAUAUAAUUUACUUUCUUUCUUAUUUGUUUCUACAAUUUCACCUAAUUUAAUUUUUUUCUAAUAUAUAGAAGAGAAAAUUUCGAUAUGCCUGCUUAUGUUGUCUUCUUCAACUGCUUCAAUUGUGACUUUAUUAUAUUGCCCUUAAUUAAUUAUUAUAAGUCAUUUAUUUAUUAAAAAAUAAUAAUAUUUAAUUUAAAAAACAGACAUUUAUGACAUGUCUGCUUCAACUGCUUUAAUCGUAAUUUUACUAAACAUCAUCUCUAAUUAAUUAUUAUAAGUCAUUUAUUUAUUAAAAAAUAAUAAUAUUUAAUUUAAAAAACAGACAUUUAUGACAUGUCUGCUUCAACUGCUUUAAUCGUAAUUUUACUAAACAUCAUCUCUAAUUAAUUAUUAUAAGUCAUAUAAGUAUUUAAAGCAGCUCUCCGUCGACCUUUCGGCUUCAGUUGUUUGCUCUGUGAUUUUACUAUAUCAUUCCUAAAGUAAUUAUUAUAAAUUAUACGUAUUAAAAGAUUAAUAAUAUCUAAUAAAACAAUAGAAUAAACAUUUAUGAUAUGUCUGCAUCAGCUGCUUUAAUCAUAAUUUUACUUAGGGGUGACAAUUUCAUCUCAUAUUUGUGAAAAGAGUCCAUUUAAUCCAUAUUUAAUGAAUUGGAUCACUCGUAUUUUAAAUGGGUAAAUAUGGACUUCAACUCAUUUUAAAAACUCAUACACAUAUGGACAAAGUGGGUAAAAUAUGGAUACCCAUUUAAACACAAAGAUCACCCACCUAUGCUUAAAGUUUCAAAAUUUUUUUUCUUUUCUAGUUUCUUUUCUUUUUUCCUUUAAUUUGCUUUUUUCCCUUUUCAUUUUUUUACUCAUUCCUUAUAAUUUCUUUUUUUCUUUCUUAUUUUUUCACCUAUUUUUUAAUUUUUUUAUUUCUUUUUUCUUUGUAUUCUUUUUUUUUUUGUUUUUCCCUCUCUCAUUCUUAUUUCAUCAUUUAUAUUCGCUUGAGACCUAUAUGAGUUAAUAAAUAUAAACUUCUAAUUAUCCCAUUUAGCCUAUAUAAUUCACAUCUCUUAUCAAUUAAAUAUAAUCCAUAGUUUCACUCCCUUAUUAUUAUUUUUUUCUAUCUUUUAUUUCUCUCUUCUUCUUCUUUUUUUCUUUCUUUUUUCCUUUAAUUUACUAUUUUUUCUUUCUUUUUUCCUUUAAUUUACUUUUUUUUCUUUUUCAUUUUUUCCACUUAUUUUUUACUCAUUUCUUACACUAUUUUUCUUUCUUCUUUUUCAUCAUUUUUUUCUUUUUCAAUUUUAUUUCUUUACAUUUUUUUUGUAUUUCCGUUUUUCCCUUUUUCAUUCUUGGUUUGUCAUUUUUGUCAUUUUUCUUUUUUUUUUAUAUUCUUUUCCUCAUUUUUUUUGUCAUCGCAUUUUAUAUUUUUUUACUUUAAAUUUAUUUGUAUCAUACUAUAUAUUUCAAAUAAAUUUAUUAUUUGUAUUUGCAUAGUUUAGUAGUCAAUAUGUGCAAUUUAUCAUUUGUAUUUAUAUACAAAUAAAUAUAUGAAUUAAAAUCAACAUGGUUUGUGGUGCAGUGAAUGAGGCUGCUCCAUCCUUAACCAGAGGUCGAGGGUACGACCCUGGUUAUGGAGAAAACUCUGUUGAAAGCGCUGCCACCUUAAUGGGCCCUCCAACGCCCGAUCCGGAUUAGUUGGAGCUCCAAUUCAGGCAUCGGACACCGGAUGAAAAACCAAAAAAAAAUAUAUGAAUUAAUUGUAUUUUCUUGACACUAAAAUAUAUAUGGCUGAGGAUCUACAUAACUCUCGAAUUAUAAAUGUUGGGCGAAUAUAAAUCAAUAUAUGCUUAUAAUAUUUUCGUUAUCAUAAAAAAAAAAAAAAAGGAAACCAAAAAUAGAAAAAAAAAAGUUGAAAGAGAGGUAGAAGCUAGAUAUAGAAGAGAGAAAAAAAACAUAAAAAAAGAAUUGAAGAAAAAAAUACAAAAAAAAACCAAAAAGAAAAAAUAAUGAAAAAGGAGAAAAGGAAAAAGGAAAAAGAUGAUUGUGAAAACAAAUAUACUGAGUGAUUACGAUAUUUUAGUCAUCAUUCAUAAUUUAUACUCGACUUAACCAUGUUCUUCGAAAAUAAAAAAAAUAUAAAACAUAAAAUACAACCAAAAAGGGAAAAAAUGAGAAAGAAGUAAAAAAAAAAAAAGAGAGAGACUAAAAAGGAAAAGAAAAAAAAAAGAAAAAAGAAAGAGAAACAAAGGGUAGAGGGCAGAGAUAGCAGAGAGAGAAAAAAAAAAGAAAAGACAAAAAAAUGAAAAAAAAAAACUAGAGCCUACAUAUAGAAGAGAGACAAAAAAAAAGAAAAAGAAAAAACUAAAAAAAAAUGGAAAAAAAGUCAAGUUGAUGUGAUAUAGAAGCUUUAAGUUUUUUACUUGGGAGUUAAAGUGGGUUGAAACCAUUUUUACCCAAUCCAUAUUUACCCAUAUUUAUAUGAGCGGAUUGCAAUCCAAACCAUUUUUACUCGAUCCAUAUUUAACCCGUCCUAAUUCAAUCCAAUCCGCCCGUUUGCCACCUCUAAUUUUACUUAAUAUCAUCUCUAAUUAAUUAUUAUAAGUCAUCUUAGUAUUAAAUAAAUAAAUAAAUAAUAUUUAAUUAAGAAGAUAAAAUAGAUAUAAAAUGAUAAGUUAACUCUUGAAGUUUUAAAAUAACUUGACGUCUUAAAUGAGAUUUCACUUAAUUUUUUUUCACAAGUAUCUUUUAUAGUAAUUUUAUUAUAUCACCUCUAAUUGGUUGUUGUGAGUCAUUUAAGACAUGUCUAUUUCGUUGCUUCAAUCAUGAUUUUACUAUAUCACCUCUAAUUAAUUAUUAUGGUCAUCUAAACAUCAUGUCACUUAAAUUAGAGUAGAAAAAGUUUUACACAAUAAUUAAAAAUUUAAAUUAUUUAGAAAAUAUAAUUGACUAUCAGUGGCACAAAACUCCGGACAAAGAGAGUAGCGUAUAUUUUUAAAAAAUUAUAAGAAAAAAUAUUAUAAAUUACAAUAACUAAAAAUUUAAAAUAUCUAAAAAUAAUUUAAUUUAUUAUAUAUUUUUAUAAAAUACUUAAAAAUAUUAUAAAUCACAAUAAUUAGCAACUUAAAAAAUUUAAAUGAUAUAAAUAUUUGGUUGACUCUCGAAAUUGUAUUAGUUUCACUUAAAUUGAAAUAGAAGAAAAAUAUUAUAAAUCACAAUAAGUAAAAUUUUAAAUUAUUUUAAAAAUACAAUUGACUAUCAACGCCACAAAAGUUUGAAUAGAGAGAGUAAUAUAUAUUAUUUAAAAAUUACAUAAAAAAUAUUAUAGAUUACAAUAUUAACAACUUAAAAUAUUUAAAAACAUAUUAAAAGUAUGAUUAAUUGUCUAAAUUCAAUUUGUGUCAUAGAAAUUAAGACAAAAAAACAUAUAUUUAGUUCAUGCUAGAUUCUGGAUGGCUCUUAGGAUGUAUAUGCAAUACAACCUUUUUUUUAGUUUUUGUUUUAAUAUAUCAAAAUUGAAAAUACAGGUUCUAAUGCAGUACAUCAAACAGUGCAUAAGAAAUAAUGUUAGCAUAAAUAAUACCAAUAUUAUUAAUACAAGCAUUAAUAAUGUAAACAUUAUUAAUACAUUCUAUCAGCAUUAUUUUUUACACUCUAACAAAAGACUACACAUUUCAAUGUAUGGAACAUAUACAAAAGGAAAGUUUAAUAAAAUAUCUAUAUAAGUAUAUUUUAUCGUGUUCUCAAAAUCAAAUAAUUUAAAUUAAUAUGAAAGAUGGUAACUUAUAGUUUUUUUUAUAUAUAAUUUUUGAAACACUUAAAAUAUUAAUUUAGUUUAACUUCAAAGAACAAGGUAACAAAUAAAAGAGAAGGGAAAAAUGAAAGCAAAUGAUGUUUAUGACGGCUUAGUAAGGAAAUAUAAUGCGGGUUAUUAAUUGCAAUUCACAUGUGAUGUAAUAUGUAAUGACUAGAUAACCCUUUAGCUUUUUCAACACUUAUUCUCAAGUCUUGUGUAUCAUUUUUAAUCUCAAAUUUUCUACUUAAUAUAGCAAAUCUCAAUCAUAUGAUUAAAGAUAUAAACUUUUAAAUGCAUCAAAUUUUAUUGUUUAUAUGAGUAAGUUAUACAUAAUUAUCUUGUAAGACUUGACUCGGUGAAAAAUACUACCAAGCUGUUAAUAUGUUUUAUGUAUUCAUGUUUUAUAAUUCAUAAUUCGAAUUAAUAUCAAUUUAACUUACUGUAUAUAGUAAAAAUAUCUUAACAUUGGGCCUAUGCUGACACAAGCAUGCUCCUUUAGUAUUAUAAGUUAGGCCAAAGUCAUCCACAGACACUCAAACUUAUUUCGAAAAUUCACUUAGACCCCUCAACUAAGGUUUGCACCUAUUAGGCCCCUAAAAUCCCCGAAUGUUGAUCUAAUUGAACAUUUUUUGCCUUCAUGGCACAUCGCGUGUUGUGUAAUCACGGGAGGCACGUGAGGAAUAUUUUUUAGACUAAAUCACGAAUAAAAAUAUGCCAAGCGGCAUUGAGGACACCAAAUUUUUUUUAAUAAAACAAAAAUCUGAUUUUCUUUACUAAUUCUUUGAUUUGAAUAUUAAUAAACCAAUUACAAAUUCUUUUUAAUAAAACAAAAAGCACUGGUCCCCAAAAAAUUUUUAAUAAAGCAAAAUUUUAAUAAAAAAGCCUCCAACAUAUUUCCCAAUUCUGAUACCUUCUUCAUCUUCUUCUCCACCCAUCUUCCUCAUUUUUUUUUUUCUUCUUAAAACUUAAUUCUACUGGUCAUCCAAAAAAAGGAAUAAUCCAUCAAAAAAACUCAAAAAUUCACACAAAUCUGAAUCCAUUCACCACCUAAAACGCUAACUCAACUAAAUCCACGAAAUGGUAAACAACCCAGAUCGAUCCAAAAUCACAAAAAUCUUGAUGAAAUUCAUAAUCAAAAACUCUAAUUCACCAAAAGGGUCAUCCAAAAACGACCAAAAACGCUGGUGAAUGAUAAAAAUAUAAAAUGAUAUUAAAUGAUACUAUUACCUGGAAUAUGUGUAUAAAAAUGAUACUAUUCCCUGGGUAUGGUUUAACAACUGGGUUGGUGUUGAAUUCGUUUGUUGAAACUUUGUUGGUGCAUAUGUAUGUGAAUUGUGACCGUUUGGGAUGUGCACGUAAGGUGUUUGAUAAAAUGUGUGAACUAGAUGUGAUUUCUUAUCUUAAUCUGAUCGUCGGAAAAAAUAGAGAAAAGGCUUUGUGUAUAUGUAUUAGAGGCCUUUUCUCUACUUUAAAGCAUAAAAUUAGAAAAAUGAUUUAUGGGUUCAUGUAAUAGAAUAAAUUUAGAAUGGUAGAAUUUUGGAGUUUAUUUUCCGGCGAGUCUCGCCGGAAAAUGUCUACUGUGUUGCUGCUCUCGUGUGUGUGUAAACUGUAAAGGACCAUGAGUGUGCGUGAACUCUAUGUGUGUGAAAACUCUGUGUGUGUGAACUGUGUGUACGCCGGGGGUUGGGGUGUGAAGAUGACGACGGGGUGGGGUUGAGGGGUACUUUUUUUCUUCUUUUUUUUAAUUAAUAAAUUAUUAUUAAAUAGAUAAUUAAAUAGAAAAAACAGCAAUUUCACGUAAUAAUUUUUUUUCUGACAUAUGUUUUUUUUUGCAUUGGUUAAUUUUGCCACGUCACGCGAGUGUAACACACUCUCUAGGUACCUUUUGCUGAUUGUGUAAAAAAGGCUCAAUUGAAUCAAAAUUCGGGGGGUUUAGGAGUCUGAUAGGUACAAGCCUUAGUUGAGGGAUCUAAGUGAAUUUUCGAAACAAGUUUGAGUGUCUGUCAAUGACUUUGGCCUAUAAGUUAUAACAAUUUUUUUAGUUUUCAAGUUAUAACAACUUUCAUUUAAAAAAAAAAAAUCUUAAAAAUAUAUUUUUCAUUUUUGUAAAGAAAAAACAUAUCAAAAUAAUUACAGAAAAGGAAAAUAUAGAUUUAAUAUAACUAAUCUGCAAUAUUCCUUCCUUAAAUAUAGUUAAUCUUAAUAAUUGAUAUCAAUCCCACCCCCCAUUUCCCUCCAACUGUUUUUAUUUUUCCUAUUUUAAUGCGUUCGUUAAGGGUUUUCACCUUCAUACACUUUCUUCUUUUUACUACAAGAUUAUAUUGUUCCAGUAAACCAAUUUCAUAAUUUCUUUUUAUUUUAUGCAACUUCUAAGAUUUUUUUUUGAAAGAAAAACAAACAUAAGUUAUUGUUGCGUUAUAAAAAUAUGAUUUUUGAUAAUCUGCACUCAAUCAUGAUACGUCAUGGAGGAAGAUGGGAUUCAUAGGUAUGUUAAAUUAUUUAGCAAAUUGAUAUUUUGCAAUCAAACAUAUUUAAAGAAUUAAAUUAAUUUUUUACAUGUUUCUUCAAUUCGUUAUUGUUAAAAUGUUGAAUUUUGUAUAAUAUGAAGAUGAAAUACUCUUGAAAGAUUACUGUAUUUGAAGUUGUGUAUGUUUAUGGAUUGCAUGAUAAAAGUAAGAAUUAGUUGUUGAAUUUUCUAUAAUAUGAUGAUGAAAGUCUCUUGAAACAGUAACUUUAGACUCAAUUAUACAUAUCAAAAGUUUGUGUCUUAAAGUUCUUGCAUACCAUAUGUUUAUAUUCAAUUGUUUGAAAGUUCUUGCAUACUGUAUGUUUAGAUUCAAUUGAUUAAAGUUCUUGCAUACUGAAUGGGUUGCAUGUAUGUUUAUGGGCUGCAUGAUAUGAUUAAAGUUUAAUAAUCUAUGUUUUGUGUAUUAAAGUUGAUUGUGAAUGUAGGUAAAAGCAUCAAAUGAAUUGGCUACAGUUGUGCAGAAUUUCAAAUGUAUGAAAUACCAUGCUCUUAUGCAAUGGCUUCUAUUUAUAGAAACCAACAUCGCAAGAACUACUGUUCACCUUACUAUAACAAUAAAAAUUUCAGAGAUACUUAUGCCAUACCGAUUGAACUUCUUCCUUGUGAAAGUACAUGAAAAUUUUCACGUGGAGUGUUGAAUGAAAUUGUAUUACCUUCGGAUUCAAAAAGACCUCCCGAAAGACCAUGUUAUGAAAGAUGAAAAGCACCAAAUGAAGAAAAGUAUAAAUGAUCAAAGGUUACGUGUAGUAACUGUCAUCGAGAGUGACAAUAAAAAGACAUGCCACAAACAUGCAUCUCCUACUUAAGAUGGAAUCUGUGUUUCUUAAUUUAUUUUGAUGUUAGAAUGUUUCUUGUUUUAAAUUAUUUAUGUUCGAUAAAUUUUGGUGUUGAAAUUUGUUCUAUUUUCACUAUUUUAUGUCCAUGGAUAUUGAUUUAUCAUAAUUUUUAAUGAUCAAACUCUGAAGAGUUAAUGCUAUUUUUGUUCAGUGAUAAUGACUAUAUAUUUUGAUUGAAAUUGUUGUAUUAUUUAUGACGGUGGCUGACUUGUAAUAAAGUGUUUCACAAUGAUUUAUGUAUAUGUUGAUGUUGCUUGUUUAAUUGUAAAUAAUAGCAAAUGACAUAUAUGAGUAGAAACAGUAAAAUAUAUAUGCAAAGACAACUAAAAGUAUUUUCUCAGCUACUGCAUGCAAUCCUAAAUUAUCCGUUUGGAAUAUAACCACACUACCAAUUUUUCUCAGAGAACAUAAAUUUAUUUUUUUCAUUAUCCUUUUUUCAAACCAACAACAUAUAUGAAAUCAUGUCACAAUCUUUUCUUUCCACGAGUGAGGAUGAUAAUCAUAAACCUCACCAGUUGUUUUCAACUCCAAUCAAACAUGUCACAACAACACAAAUUUUUCUUGAUUUAUAACAUUUUCGUCCUUGCAUAUGCUUCUCCCAUAACUCAGUCGAAAAGCAGAACAAUCCUAGAAGCUACAAGCUAAUGCCCACAUAUGGAAGUUUCAACAAUUUUAUCUUUCUUAUCCAAAACAAUAACAUAUAAAGUAUGCCAGUGUUGAUGUUUAAUAGAACGACAAAGGGGGGAAGAACAGAGUUGCGUAAAACCAAAAUAAGGUGGAUACCAUAAAUCACCACGAAUUACCAAAAAGUAUACAUAGGAACGCAGCAUCAUACAACACACAGAGAAAUAAUAAACACCUACCCUAAAGUUUUAUUUAUUUAUAUAUGUUUUCUUCAAUGAGAACUCUGCCCAUUUUCAACACCUAGACCAUACAAGACACCAACAUACUUCUCCUGUGAACCGCUAAAGUAGUUCUCUUUCAAAUUCCUAAAUGUACAAGCAGUGAGUAAGCUAUCUGAACCCGCCAGAUGACAAAUACCAACCCUCUCAACAUUUAACAGCUCCGCAAGCUUGUUCAAUCCACCAUGAAGGCUGUUGCAGAACUUCAUCAAAUGCUUGAUAUCGAAAAUGACAGGAAAGUAAAAAAUUUAGCAAGGUAAGAAAAUCUUCUUGCGUAUUAGGCAAAUCCCGUCGAUUCAACAGCUUCCACAGGUAUCAAAAAUCAUACCUACUGUGAAACGUAACCCACGAAACACUAUCAUUUAGCACAACCCCUGAUGACAUCCAAAGCUCCCCAAAUCGCUUAGCAACAAUACCCUUUUCAUUAUUCAUCUUGAAAUCAAUCCCACUUUCGCGCAACAACUCAAUAGAAUCAUUUGCGAAAACAUCCUCAUUCGGAUUGAAUUCACGAAAAUUGAAUUGUCAAAUACAGCAUUGAUCAGUUCCAUAAUUUGGCAAGUUGUCAUUUUCAUAUGAAAAUAUCAACCGUAACUGAAUCAACUUCAACAUAUCAACAUUAUCCUUAAGUGUCUGAAAAUAAAAAUCAUUAAUACUCUUAAAAUUUCCAAUCGGCCGAAUCACCACUCCAGGAAACUCCGUAUCCAUAGCAAUAAACGAAUAAUCAUCAAUAAUCUCCCGCAUCAACACAAAUUCUUCCUCCAGAUUCUCAUUCCAAACCUCUCGAAUAAGAAAACAACACUAAUAUCGGUAAAGUAACACUGGAUGGGAAUGAAGGAAUAAAAGAUGGAAAACCUAACUUCAUACACGUAAAUAUCAAAAAAAAAAAAAAAAAGAGAGAAAAGAAAUAAAAAGAAAUUAUGGUAAAGAAGAAAGACUCUUCUCGGGAAAGUAACACGGGAAAAGGUGUAAGUACAGAAUUACUAACUUAAUUAUUCAAGUUAAUAAAAAAUCAAAAAUCAAGUAUCAUUGUAAAAAAUUAUAUAUACCAUAUUUGACUCCUUGAAUUAUGAACAGAUUUUGUAACUUAAUUAAUACAAUAAAAAAAGAGAUAAUUAUUGAUAUCAAUAAUAAAACUUGUCAUAAUUAUCAAAAGAUUUAAAGAAGAGUGAUAAAUAUUAAAGGGUAUAAAUAAGGAUCUAAUUUAAAUAUUAAAUAUGAAAAAAUGAUUUUCUACUAUUAAAAAGAAUAUUUUUUCUAAAAGUUGCUAUAACUUUACAAUAAUUUCUUUAGUCUAGUAAUUAUUGAAAAGUAUUGCUAUAACUUGCAAUAAACAAUUUAAUAAGCUUAUUUAGGAUAAUUUUCACUUUUAGAUUGUGAAACAAAAAAAGGUGACACCACUGACAUGCCUUACUUAAAAAAAUUUAAUCAAAAGAAGAAACCAUUCGUCAGAUUUGCAAAUGAAUUUGAGGUUUGCUCAAGUUUCAGAUGACAAAUAGAUAAGAUUGAACAACAGAUGGACCUGCUUUAAAGCAUAAAGAUGUGUACAUGAUUUUCCGAUAUAGCUUUUCAUCCUUAGCAAUUAGCAAAGACAGAAGACUAAAACAUGCAGAGAGAAAUGUGAAAUGGACAUGCACCAAACUAUCAGGUUGUAACACCCCGAAUUUUGGGCUAGAACGUAAACCGUCAUAUUCCUUCACGUAAAGGUUUCAAAAGUCAUAAAUCCGAUGCAAAUAUAGUGUGUUGAUCAAUCAUGUAGUGUGGGAAUCUAGUUGAGCAUGAAUUGAGAUCAUAGAGGUCCCUUAACCCAAGGAAGAGUUGGAAACCCUAUCAUUUUAGUUUUAGUGAGCGUCGGAACUUGGGUCAACUUCAAUCGACCAUAACUUUUUGUAUAUAACGAAUUAGUGUUCUAUAUAUCAAAUGAAAGGUCUUCGAAAUAACUUUCCAAUGAUACCAAUUUCGCCUAAAUCCGAUAACCGAGCGAAAAGUUAUGACUUUGCAAAGUGGAGUGUGUUGCCUAACAAAUCGCCUAAAUCCAUUGGAAUGGUUAUGCCAUAAGCUAGGCGCCGCCCAACCUAGCUUAGGCAAUGGGUUAGGCGAUGGGCAAUGCGCCGCCCAGCCUAGCUUAGGCGAUGGGCAAUGCGGCAUAUACCUUAUGGCCCAACGAUGUAAUUUCUUCAUUUUUAAGUCAUUUUAAGGGCAACUAAGUCCUUUCACAUCCCAAAACCGUCCCUAAUCAUCCUUAAACGAAUUUAGGCUUAUUAGUAACGUCUAAACUAUCCUAAGAUCCCUAGUUCAUCCUUCAAGAACACAAGAGGAGAAAACAACUAGGGUUUGAGCAAUCAAGUUUAAAGGUCCAAUCUUUUCGAAACUUCUUCACGAAUUCUUCGCAACUAAGGUAUGUGGGUUUAUCGUAAAACUAUAUGGGCUUGUUGAAACACUUGAAUAUAAUCUAAAGUUUAUCAAGCAUAAAAUUAUAAGGGGGUUCUGGAAUCUAUGUUUUAAAUUAUGCAUCCUGAAUGUUUCCAUGCUAUUAUUGUUUUGACCUUGAGGCCUUUCCCAUUAAACUGAGUUAUACUCAUAUGUAUAUAUAUGAAAUUGAGUUUUGAAUAUUGAUUGAGAGCAUAAUUAUGAAGUCCCUCUCUUGUGAUGAAUUGAAGUUUAUAUUCUUAUCGAGAAUGAUUUGAAAUGCAUGUGUUAUGGAAAUGCAUGUGUUAUGGGUUAAAAGUGGUUUUUCUUGAUUUCAUUGUAUUUGAACAUGAUUUAGAGACGAUGAGAGGGAGUCUUCUUGCUAAACUAUACCCUUGUUUUAAGGAGAAAGAAUUUCAUAUGAUUGAGUAAAUUGACAUGACCACCUUAUGUUAUUGAAAUGUUGAAAAAGAGAGGGUUUCUUGCACGUGUUUACAUGAGUUCUUUGAAUUGAAUUAUUUGAUAUGGUGGUCCCAAACCUUAAUGUUUUGAAAGCGGAGAUUAUAUUGCGCUAUUAAUGACUCAUAAAUGCGACUUGCAAGUCAACGGUAUGACGAUACCAUAUAAAUGUAUGCCAUAACAGAGCUAGAGCUUUCAGAGUUUGAUUUAAGAGAAUAACAUCCUAAAACGAGACAUUUCUAUAGAGACUCAAACAUACUUCCCGAGCUAGCUAAAGCUCCCACUAAAUCUCAUCAUCACCUGGGCAAACUUUAACCACAAAGAUCGCAAAUCUUAUUGAACUCACAUAAACUAGUAGUUACAUGUCACAAGCUGUCCCCAUCUGAUAUUGUUUUCAGAAAAUGAUUGUCCGUUGAUCACCAUAAAUUGCACAAUCUGCUUGAACAAAAUAGUUCUUUAAGAACAUAUUUUGAGAAUGAAAUGUGCUUGACAAUAAUAGUUAUUUUUUUUCAUGUUAGGGCAACCUUCUCAGUGGGUUUUGUUAAUUAGAAGGCAAGGCAAUUCCUGUUAAUAAAGAGUACUUGAGUAGUGCUGGACAUAUUGAAAAACAUUUAUCAAGUGAAGUGUCAACUCAUGUAUGUAUAGAGAAAUGUAUAGCAACACUUGUUUAUUGCGUUACACACACAGAGCCAGUCAUUUUAAGUGAUUCAAAUACUAAUAAAAGCCUGAUCUACUAAAUGAUCAAAAUAAUGAAAAAUAGGUACAGCACACAUAUCGAUUGACCAGAUAAGCUGGAAAAAAGCAAAAGUAAAUUUGAUAAAUUGGAAAAUUAUUAGGAAAGACAGUAUUCGCUUACUUGGACAAAUCUUGUGAUCACAGGGAAAAAGAAUUGUCAAACUAUUACUAGUAUUACCAUUUUUAUGGAAUAAUGGAAUUUGCAUACAAUGAAUACCAACUAUUAACAAAGAGAGUAAUGUAUUUUUUCCACUCAAGCAUACCUGCUUCAAUAGCUUAACCAUAUUACCCCCCAUGAUCUAUGUGAAAUAAAUAACAUUCUGUUUGAAUAAUAGACUGCUAGACAGUGGGAAUGCAAUUAUCCCAGAUGACUCAUAUCAAUCUGUUUACUAAUUUUGCGGCUCAAAUGAUACUCAAAUUGCAGUGGCCCUCAAGAGAUUUGGACUAGUGGUAAGAGCGCAACACACAAUUUGUCAUUAAGCGCAGGUCAUGGCUUCAAGCCAAAGUGUCUUGAACCAUGUGCCACCGACCCUUGUGGAUGUCUCGGUUUUAAAGAAAAUUAUUCCACUUGCAGUGGACACAAAUGAUUUCGAUACAUAACAUAGUUCAAGUUUACGAAGUCAACUAGUUACAUAGUGCAUACUAAGCUGAACACACAGUGGCUAAUCUUCAACACAUAAUAAACAAAGUUCCCCUGACUAGAAAUAUGUCAGCCAACAUCAACA
RNAcentral lists this long non-coding RNA (80186 nucleotides) under Capsicum annuum. Its description in RNAcentral is "long non-coding RNA (CANN_LNC004086)". The record is from RNAcentral. Lineage: Eukaryota; Viridiplantae; Streptophyta; Magnoliopsida; Solanales; Solanaceae.